AGCAAGUUUAAAAAAAACAAGGUAAAGAUAUAUCAUGAUUGAAAGAGUUUGAAUAAUAAGCUGGCUAUCCUUCACAAUGUAGUUGUGAAUUAGCAUGAACAAAAUUUCAAAGCUGAAUGAACAUUGAAAAUGAACAUAACAAUUAUAUCUGAACUGACUGGUAAUGAAGGUGAUCAGCCUUUCAUACCUGAUGAAUACAUGCAAUAUGUACAGAGUACAAUUCAUAAGCAUAUCUGUCUGAAACCACUCUUAAAAGAGUUUAAGUAAAAAGAACUUGAAAAACUUGCCUGAACCGUUGAUUACCGUAACGCAAUAUAAUACGCUUCUCCUGAAGACCUAAUAUUAAUAAUAUAGAUCUCCAAUAUUAGAAUAAUAUCAUCACCGUUAUAAAAUAACUUAAACACAUAAUCCUAUCAGUCUAUACAGCAUAUAAAACCUAUAAUAGAUCUUUCGGUUAGUCAUAACAUAUAGUUAAGUAUUAGACAUUAGUUUUAAGUCUUAAUAUUAUUAUUAUACUUUGAUAUUCUUUUAAUCACAUCAUAACUUAUACUUAUAAGUUAUUCAUUUUUAUAUGUUAUCCUAGUAAAUUAGAUAACAUCUUAGUAAACCGAAAUACCAUUUCAGUAAGACGGAUUUUAUUUCAGUAUCCCGAAAUCACUAUUCUUUUUCACGAAAAAUACCAAAUCAACUUAUUAUUUUUUUAUCCUUUGGUCAAACAUAUAUACAUGUAUUUCAUACAUAAAAAAUAUUUUUCCGUAAUUUUUCAAUUUCUUUUACUAUUUUUCAAAAAUCAUAAUUAGUGCGUGACUUAAGAAAAUUAGCUACCUCGUGCUUAACUCCAGAGAUGCCCAUCUUUUGACAUAACCUUAUAUAUGUUAACGUGAUGCUCCAUUUUAAAUUUCGUGGCAAUCGGAGUUGUAGAACUCCGGUUAUAGCGAUUUCCGUCGGAAAAUCACAAAAAUUGAAAUGGUCAUAACUUGGUCGUUUUAAGCCGGAAUUAGCUCAUUUUUGGACACGAGCUACAUAUUACCAUAUAUUUUCAUUUCCCAAAAGCCUGUAAUUUUUCUCAUUAACUAAAUGUCCAAAACAGCCCUCGGAAAAUUUUGGCCAGAAACUUUUUGCACUUUGGCAGUUUUGGAGUCCUUCACCAAAACUUAAAUAAAACGAAAUCUGUAACUCCGAUUAAUGAUCCGUCAAUUUUGUUGGAUUCGUAUCUUUCCGAACUACAGUUUUCAUAUAUCACAAUCCAUAUUUGGAUAUGUUUAGCUCCCGGAAUUUAGCCCGGAAGUGACUGUUCCAAAACUGUCCUUUUCACAGUUUUCUUAACUUUGUGUAGUUUGGGAGAAAUCCCAUAACUCCCUCCUCCGAUGUCGGAUUUAGUCCGUUUUGGAGUCUAUGGAAAGCUUAUUGAGUGUACUAUAACAUAUCACAAGUCCAGAAUUUUUAGAGCACUCUAACAAAUCCGAAAUUUCUGUUUAGGGCAGAGCAGUCCACUAACUCAUUUAAAACAAAAAAAACUGUUUUGGUUAUUCUUCUUUGUUCAAGCCUAUCAACCCUAAAAAUGGCAAGAUCUAACCAUAAAAUAUCAUNNNNNNNNNNNNNNNNNNNNNNNNNNNNNNNNNNNNNNNNNNNNNNNNNNNNNNNNNNNNNNNNNNNNNNNNNNNNNNNNNNNNNNNNNNNNNNNNNNNNNNNNNNNNNNNNNNNNNNNNNNNNNNNNNNNNNNNNNNNNNNNNNNNNNNNNNNNNNNNNNNNNNNNNNNNNNNNNNNNNNNNNNNNNNNNNNNNNNNNNNNNNNNNNNNNNNNNNNNNNNNNNNNNNNNNNNNNNNNNNNNNNNNNNNNNNNNNNNNNNNNNNNNNNNNNNNNNNNNNNNNNNNNNNNNNNNNNNNNNNNNNNNNNNNNNNNNNNNNNNNNNNNNNNNNNNNNNNNNNNNNNNNNNNNNNNNNNNNNNNNACAUACCCUUAAUCCUGAAUAAUUCACUAAAAGAAAUUUUAAAUCCUCAAAAUUCCUUUCUGAAAACAUCAAACACAUACACUUAUUCUCUGUCUAGGUCUAUUAUUUGACCUUAAACCAAUCAUUUAAGAUUUUAAUAAUUUUCUAAUUUCUCGGGUUGUCACAGUAAAUAUUACUCAUAACUAUAACAUUAUAUUAUAUCCACACCAUAAUAUUAAAAAAUAUAUUUCGAGAGAAAUUAAUCUUUAUUUAUAAAAGUUGGGGUCUUACAGCCUCCCCUUCUUAUGAAAUUUCUUCCUCGAAAUUAGGGUGCGUACCUGGUAUGUCAAAGAGGUGAGGAUACCUUGAUUUCGUUUCAGAUUCUAACUCCUAGGUCAUUUCCUCAACAUCAUGGUUUCUUCUUCACGAAUAAAAUAGGAGCACCCCAAGGAGACGUACUAGGACGAAUGAAACCGAUGUCUAACAAUUCCUGCAGUUGGGUCUUUAACUCCUGAAGUUCAAUAGGAGCCAUUCGAUAUGGGGCUUUGGAAAUAGGUUUUGUACUGGGUUCAAGGUCGAUACAAAAUUCAAUUUCACGCUCUGUGGGUAGGCCAGGAAGUUCUUCAGGGAAUACAUCAGGAAAUUUAUUAACAAUAGAAAUAUCAUUCAAAACUGACGUAUUUUUGUUUAAAUCCGUGACAUGAGCUAAGAAAGCUUGACAUCCGCUUUUCAAUAAUUGAAUAGCUUUAUGGCUUGAGAUGAUAGUGAUUGAUUUUAAUGGUUUGGUUGUUUGAAUUCGCAUAAUAGGUUGGUUAAGAAUAUUAAAGCUAACAACCUUACAAAAACAAUCAAUUUUUGCACGAUGAGUAGUUAACCAAUCAAUCCCUAAAAUCACAUCAAAUGCAAGUAUUUUCAAAGAAAUAAGAUCAACAGGUAACGUGCGGUUGCCGAUUUGAAUUAAACAAGACUUAUAAACAGUGGAUGUAAUGAAGGUUUCUCCCAACGGAGUUUCAACAAAUAAGUCAAAGUCUAAUUUCUCCGGAGUCAAAUUUAAACGUUGAGCGCAAGUAAGAGAAAUAAAAGAAUGGGUAGAACUGGUAUCAAAUAAGGUAUAGACUUCGCUAAAGUUUAUGAUAAGCUUACUCGUGAUGACCUCGUUCGGGUUCCUUACUUUUUAGGAGGUCACAACAAACGCUCUCCCUUGAACUACCGGUUUUGACUUUCCUGGGACGGCCUUUGGUGCCUCCAUCCCAGCUGAACUUGCCUUCCCUGAACAUCAAAAUCGAGCUAGGUGACCUUCUCUUCCACAAUUGUAACAGGUUUUAGACUGCUGUGUACAGUUUGGACUGAUAUGUCCCUCCCAUCCGCAUUUGAAGCAUAUGAUAGGUGGUCAUUCUCCUUCCUUAACAACGGGUGAUGAUGCUAAUGUCUUUCCAUCAUUUUUGAAUCUCCUCUUCUUGAAAUGUCCAUUCUUAUUGUUUUGGCCAUGAUUAUCACCGAAGUGGUUACCAUUUCUGGCAUGUUGAUUCCCUCCACGCUUAUUGUCACCGCUUCGAUAACUGUUAUCACUGGUAUUAUCAUUUUGCCGGCUGCUCUCUUUUGGUUGGGUUGACUCAUUAUCACACUCCAAUAACUGAGCCCUAUUAACAACAUCUGAAUACAAACACAUUUUAUGAGAGAUAAGAUAUUGACGUAUCUUGGGUUUCAAACCUCUUAGAAACAUUCGCGUCAUUCUCUCCUCAUUAUCAACCAAAUGGGAAGCAAACCAGGAAAACUCGGCAAAUUUAGCUUCGUACUGCGACAUGGUCAUGUUGUUUUGCUCCAGUUUAAUGAACUCUACCUCUUUCAUGUGACGAAUACUUUUGGGAAAGUACUUGUCAUUGAACAAUUCUUUGAACUUCUCCCAAGACAUCUUAAGUGCGGCAGGUUGAGUACGCUUUACAGAUUCCCACCAGUAAUUUGCCUUUGCCCGCAGCAUGAAGGUGGCAAAGAGAAACUUUUGCUCCUCGGAGCAUCCCAAGACAACAAAUAUCCUGUUGAUUUGCUUUACCCACGUCUCUGCCUUAAGUGGUUUUGGCUCUCCAAAAAACUCUGAUGGUCCCAGCUCCUUGAACUGUUUAGCAGUGACCGUUCGAGAGUUGCCAGUGUUUCCACCUGUAUUUUGGACAGGAGCCUCUCUUGCCUGAUGUUGCAUAAAUUUCAUAAAGCCUCUGAACAUUCCAUCGUUCAUCAUUUGGUAAGUGUUGUCGUUUGCAUGAGGAUUGUCGCCUUCCUAAUGCACAUUAUCCUGAUUAUUGAUCUGUGGAGACUCAACGGUCUCCUGUGCUCCAUUGCUAUUUUCAACAUUCUCGGAUGUCAUUUUCAAAUACUGCCACAAAAUAAUGGUUAAUUAACAUAUCACAUAUUAUCCUUGUACUCUGACCGACCAAUUAAAUACCAAAUAAACUUAGGUAGGUCAUAGUAGCGAAGGAAUUCCCUAUCUCUCCCCCCCUAGUUCUUGUCUCACAUCUCAGCCAGGGAUCAUAUCCCUAAGCUUUGAUACCAACAGUGACGCCCCCAAAACAGGUAUACAUCACCCAUCUUGAGUCGCCAAAUACAUGGUACAAAAUUUAAAUACAACUUAAUUAUACAACAGUCGUGUAAAAUACGACAAAACAUAAUCUAAGAGUUUUAAUAAGAAUAUUGUCAUCUAGACAAUAUCCACACUCAAUGGAGUCCUCAUUACAUUUAUUGUCACACUAUUUAACAGAAUAGUGAGGACUACUAAUGCUAUCAUCUGGACCGUCACUCCAUUCCCCGACUAGUCUCGACUACGUUCUCAUUUCCUGAAAAGAACAGUGAAAGAAAGGGUGAGCUCAACUAGCCCAGUAAGAAAUAUUAUGACUAAGAUAAUGCAGAAUAAAUUAUCAUUAGCCUUCAACAAUGUUAAACUGAUAAAAUACAAUAGACAUCAAGUUUAACUAUAGCGGAACAAGAAAUUCAUUAGAAGAGUCAAGUAGAGAAUAAAAUCUACUAUCUUCAAUGAUUUAAAAGGUUUUUCAUCACUUUUAUCGUUGAGACUCAGCUUAUUAAAUAAACCACGUCAUCCCUACACUACGGCUAAGGAUAUUCACUAGUAUCACGACCACAAAUUAUCCAUGCACUACGGGCCAAGGAUAUUCGUGUUUUCAUCAAUGGUCAUGAUCAUGCCAACAACUGUCCAUCAAUGCACUACGGGCCAAUGAGAACUUUUACCACAUCAUUUGUAACAUUACGGUCAUGACUAUACCGAAUAAUCCCUGGUCAUAAUCAUACCAAGUCCAUCUAUUCACUACAGGCCACAGAUGACUUUCAACAUAAUAUAAACAUGAGGAUGAUGACAAUGACAUAAUAAUUCAAUAAAAUAAGUUGAAGAAUUAAAUUUUAAAGAUUUAUAAGUUAAUUUAUCCUGAACUCAGAAACGUCCAAAUUGUCAACAUGAUACUUCUUUGUGGAGUAAAAUUCAAGAAUGCUCAGAAGAAUAUUUCCAUGAAAAGAUACUAGAUAAAGCGCAAAUAUACAGGAUAUUCUACUAAUUUCAUGGAGUAUAGAAGCCAAAACUUUAACCAACUGAGUAUAAUAGAAUAUAUGAACCUGCAAAUGGAUUUUCGCCCGCCAUGCUGUAAUCCACGUAGACAGAUCAUUUCCACAAUUUAAUAAGGAAUCAAUACAAAAGAUCAUUCACCAUGCAUGUGGUAAUCCACAUAGACAGGUUAUUCCAACAGAAUAAUAAAGAAUGGAAUAAAAGAAGAAUUCAACAUGCAUGCGAUACACCGCACAGACAGGUUAUUCCCAACAAAAUAAUAAAGAAUGGAACCAGGUCAUCCGAAAUCCGCACAGACAAGAUAUUCCAACAAAAUAAUAAAGAAUGGAAUAACAACAGAAUUCACCAGGCACACGAUAGACUGCACAUGCAGGUUAUUCCAACAGAAUAAUAAAUAAUGGAACCAGGUCAUGCGUAAUACGCAUAGACAAGUUAUUCCAACACAAAAAUAAGGAAUGGAAUAACAAUAACUCUCUUCAUGAAAAUGAAAGAAAUAAUACCCCUUACCUUAGAAUAAAGCUGGAUACUGGAAUAGAGAUGUAGCAGACUUCUCUUCUUCUUUCUCUCUAUAAUUUCUCUCUAUAAUAAUUGCUCUAUAGCUUUAGUGAAUUAGUGAGAAAUGAAGGAAGAAUGGGCUUCUAUUUAUAGAAAAAAUAUAGUUUCAAUAAUUACACGUUUUGGGGUCAAAAAAUUACAGUACAAUACCUCCAACUUUUCUUUCAUUUUUAAUUUAGUCCUGCAAGUAUUAUCAAACUUGAACCACCUCCCCUAAUAGUAAAUAAUGUGAUUCAAUAGUUCAAUCAUGUGAUUCAAUAGUUAUAAUCAUGUGAAUUAAUAGCAAUUAAUUCCUCAUUUAUCUGAUUAAUUACCCGAUAACUUCCAGACAUCAAUUAUUAUCUAAAUAAAUGUCGAUUUUCACUAAUACUAAUAAUUCCAACACAAUGGAACUAUCGAUUUCAUCUUUAAUCAACACGAAUUUAUUCAUCAUUAAUAUUAUAACUCACAAUAUUUAACAACCAGGUCGUUCCUAGGAAAGAGGGGGCUUUCCGAUAAGGAUUUCUCCUUAUUGGCGUACAAUUAGAUGACCAAACCUAUCUUUGACAGAACUUCUAGACAUUGUAAAUAUUGUAAUUUAAUAAUAUGAAUAACUUCGUCGUCUCAAUUAUUGAUUUAAUAAUAUAUCAUAUUAUACAGAUGAUACUGUGACAAUAAUCAAAUCAAUAAUAUGAGAGAUAUGAUGCAACAAUUACUGUAGCAAGAAUUGAGUAUAAUUGAGUGACUUCUCACGUAAGCAUCAAUAACCAAUACCGUGUACUACUAUGCAACCACGUGUAUUACUGUACUUUUACUACCGGGUAGUUCAACAGUUUUAACGGUAACACUUCCGUCAUUAUUUUUAUAAAAAGAUAAUUGUGUUGUUUUCUUACUACGACAGUACUUCCGUUGUGGAGUCUACCAAUGAUUGUGCCAUCGUACGAAUAUUCCCUGAUAAAACAAAUAUUGCCCGACCAAUCGAAUAUUAUAUAACCACUUGCUUACUUUGCAAAAUUUGAAAAUAUUACCCAUAAGUAUAACAUUAUAUUAUAUCCACACCAUAAUGUUAAAAAAUAUAUUUCGAGAGAAAUUAAUCUUUAUUCAUAAAAGUUGGGGUCUUACAUUAGAUGUUAGUUUUUGUGUGUUAGACAUGUUGUUUAUAAUCCAUAUAGUUGAUUUGGGUUGGUAGAUGAUAGAUCAAUAACAUCUAAGUGCACGAAUUUAAAAAAAUUCAAAAUCUGGAAAAAAAGUUUAAAAUAUGGUCUGACAACGAAUGUCAGUGGCCACCAAUCUUUCUCUGUUAAGUGUUUUUGUUGUUUAAAGCUUUGAUCUUGUAUUCUGAUAUGUGCUCUUUGAUCUGGAUCAAGAAUCAGGCUUAGAUCCGGUUUGGAUUGCAAGUUAUUCGUGGUCAAACCACGUUGACCGGCAUUGACCGGAAGAAAUCUAGGCAGCCCAGAAAAUGCCCAGAUAGGUCUGACAAGAAGUUCAUGGCCUUUGAUCUUUCUGUUUGUUGUUUGUUUGUUGUUUUUGUUGUAUCUAGAUUGUAGUCUGCUGAAUGAACUUCAUGUUUAUGCCUUAAAAUCUCCUAAAAAUUAAACUGGAUGAAAGUAGUAACCGGUCAAAGUAGCUAAGUAGUUCACGUUUAUGGUUUUCUGGAAAACCCAGAAAAUCUAUGAACAUGGGUUCUGACAAUAUUUGACCGGAUCUCAUAUGCUUGAACUAUUCUGCAUUUCUGGGUAACCCAGAAAUGAAGAACAACAUCUGACAGCUACUUUAAUGGCUCAGAUCUCUUUGGUUAUAUGUUGUAUGAACCUGUUUGUUAUUGGAUCUUGUAGUCUUGCAUUAAUACUACACGAUCUGAUCAACAACAUGCCCAGAAACACAAUACACACUUGUUUAAUAUUGGUCAAACAUGGUCACUCAGUCACUGCACAUGAAUUUCUGGGUUUAUGAUAUUUUUAUUAAAUAAUUAUAGAAAAUUAGUUUUUAAUUAUUAAAAAUACAUAAUAAAUUAUUAAAAAUUAUUUUAAAGUCCAAAAAUUAGUUUUUAAUUAUUAAAAAUACAUAAUAAAUUAUUAAAAAUUAUUUUAAAGUCCAAAAAUUAGUUUUUAAUUAUUUUAAAUAUAUUUCAUAAAUAUUUAAUAUUUUUGAAAUAUUAAUUGUAUUUAAUUUAUUUAAUAAUUAUAUUAAAUAAAUUAUUUAAAAAUAAUUUUAAUACUUGAAAAAUUAUUUAAAAUUAUAAUAUGGUAUAAGAAAAUAUUUUAAGUUAUUUUUAAUGAGUUUUAAUAUUUUCUGAUGAAAAUCAUUAAUAAAUUAAUAUUAAUGAUAAUUUAGUUAUUUAAUAAAUGAAUUAAAUAAAUAAAUUAAAAAUGAUUUUAUUAUAUUAAAAAUUAUUUUAAUUAAUAAUAGGGUAUUUAAAAAUAUUUGAAGUUAUAAAAUAUAACUUUCAAUAUUUAAAGGAAAAUUUCAUUAAUUAAUUAUUAUUAAUGAUAUUAAAGUUAUUUAAUAAUUAUAUUAGAUAAUUUAGUUUAAAAAUAAUUUUAUUAUUAUAAAAAUCAUUUUAAAUGAAAAUAAAGUGUUUAAAGAUAUUUUAAGUUAUAAAAUAUAACUUUUAAUAUUUAAAGGAUAAUUUCAUUAAUAAUUUAAUAUUAAUGAUGUUAAUUUAAUGUUAAUAAUAUUAAAUUUAUUUAAUAAUUAUAUUAAAUAAAUAGUUUAAAAAUAGUUUUAUUAAUCAUUUAAAAGGGAUAUAAAUGAAUUAAAAAUAUUUUAAUUUAUACUUAAUGACUUUUAAUAUUUUAAGGAAUAGUACAUUAAUAUUUUAAUAUUAAUGGUAAUUUAAAAAUGAUUUUAAAUGUUUUAAAAAUCAUUUAUGGGUAAUAUAAAUAUUUUAAAAAUAUUUUGGCAAUGAUUUCAUUAAUAGUUUAAUAUUAAUUAAAUAUUAAUGAUAAUAGAAUUGUUUAAUAUUUAAAUCAUUUAAUAAUGAUUCCGGUGUUUAAAAAUUCACGAUAAAUUAUAAUAAAUGUUUUAAAAUUAUUAUAAGUCAUUUAAAAAUAAUAUGACUGAUACUUACAGAUAUUGAACUUCACGAUAGAGUCUUAGACUCGAUAAUUACCCGAUAAAGCCGUCGGUAGACCGACAUAUUUCGGAAAUUGAUUUGGACUUAGAUAAUUUGAUUAGAUAUGUGUUUGUUUGUAAUCCAAUGACUGUUGAACAUGGCUGACAAUGUGAUUAGGUUAUAUGCUGACUGCAAAAUGAAGUACUAUGUGUUAUAGUAUAUUGUUCUAAUCGAACCAAUGAUCUUAUUAAUGAUAGGUCGUGACAUAAAAGAUAAAACUAAGUUCGAUAUUGUAAGCAGCAGACCAGACAAGUAUCCUACAUUUGCAUUUACUUUAUGCAAUGGAUAUAAGUAAGAAAGUUUUAGAAUUAUAUUAUUAUUGUGCCAGAAUAAUAACCCUAUUGUUAUCGAUUAUGUGACACCCCCGAAAUAGGUAUACAUCACCCAUCUUGAGUCGCAAGAAAAUACACUACUGACAACUUCAUUUAUACAACUGUCGUGCAAAAUACGACGCCAUGUAUACUGUGAGAUUAAAUAAAAAUAUAUAUACCAACUCUGACUCAUGUCACAAUUGCACCUUACAUAAAGGUACAGUCAAUAACUUUUUUAGAAGUUAAAAUCUUUGGGAAGUGCUCAGGGAAACCUUCGUACAUGGGAGGCCAUGCGUCUAGGUUAUGAUAGAUAUCAUAUGUACACAAAAUUAUUCUUGGUUGACCCAAUAGACCCCAAAGAAAAACGAGAAUAUUAAUAUCAUGUUCCUUCCAAUGGUGAGUCUUCUCUUGAUAUAUAACUAUUUGCAAUUGAGAAUUAUAUUUUAACCAAACUCCAAGAUUAUAUAGGUAGUGCUCGUAGAUAUACUCAACAAGUGGAUGUGCACAACCCUGUCUUAUGAUAACACGAGGUUGUAUGUCAUUAGACAUCUUGUAUGAUAGUAGCAAAACACCCGUCCAAAGUUGGGUUCACCUCACCCUAUUCGGUUCACCAAAAUUAAAUAUCAAAUGGCGUAUACAAUGCGACACACUUAUCUAAAGUUCUCAAUAAAAUUAUUUUCAUACUAUUUAGGGAUAACCUCAACAGCUAUAGACCACCGUUCUAUUCUCCUGUUAUCCCCGCUUGACCCAGCUACACUCUUAUUAUCUGAAAGGAAUUGUGAAGCAAUAAGGGUGAACACAACUAGCCCAGUAAUGAAUAUCAUGACUAAAGAUAAUUUACAUCAUCAAUAGCAUUCAUCAGUUAUAAAUCAGAGAUUUAGAACAUAUGGUAGAUGAUAAAACUUUUCAACCAUAGUUGCAGCGAAACGAGCAAUCCAUUAGAAGAGUCAAAUAGACCAUAAAGUCUAUUAUCUUCUCCACGUUAAAAGUCCACUAACAAUGUUUUAUCCCUGUGACAUCAAUGAACAGUUCCUUUCCACAAUCAUAUGAAUAAUUCAUAAUCAUAAUUGUGAUUCUAAAUCCCUCUUCGCACCCAGGACGAAGAUAAUUUUCAUCACAUAUCUUUACCUGAAACAUCAAAUAUCAUGGUUAUACCAAAUCACAGUUCCUGUUUAUAAUCAUACUUAAUAAAUUCAUCUUUGCACUACGGGCCAAAAAUAUUCAGUAUCAUUUCAUCUUUGCACUACAGGCCGAAGACAUACAACUGUAUUUUAGAAGAGUCAAGUAGAGCAUGAUAUCUAUUAUCUUCUACGAAUUGAAAAGUUAAUUCUUUAUAGCUGAGACUCAGCUUAAUAAAUAAUCCACAUCAUCGAAUCAACCCUGCACUACGGCAAAGGAUAUUCGUUAAUAUCACAUCUAUGAAUUAUCUAUGCACUACGGGCCAAUGAGGACUUUUACCACAUCAUUUGUAACAUUACGGUCAUGAUUAUACCGAAUAAUCCCUGGUCAUAAUAAUACCAAGUCCAUUUAUGCACUACAGGCCACAGAUAACUUUCGUCAUAAUAUAAGCAUGAGGAUAAUGACAAUGAUAUUAAGAAUCAAUCAAAUGAGAUAAAGGAUAAAUAUUAAACAUUUAUAAUAUAAUUUAUCCAGCGUUCAAUAAUAACCAAAUGUUAUCCAUCACUUAAUAAUCUCAUAAUCUAAUAUCAUUAAUAUUAUAACAAUACUUUAAUCAUUUNNNNNNNNNNNNNNNNNNNNNNNNNNNNNNNNNNNNNNNNNNNNNNNNNNNNNNNNNNNNNNNNNNNNNNNNNNNNNNNNNNNNNNNNNNNNNNNNNNNNNNNNNNNNNNNNNNNNNNNNNNNNNNNNNNNNNNNNNNNNNNNNNNNNNNNNNNNNNNNNNNNNNNNNNNNNNNNNNNNNNNNNNNNNNNNNNNNNNNNNNNNNNNNNNNNNNNNNNNNNNNNNNNNNNNNNNNNNNNNNNNNNNNNNNNNNNNNNNNNNNNNNNNNNNNNNNNNNNNNNNNNNNNNNNNNNNNNNNNNNNNNNNNNNNNNNNNNNNNNNNNNNNNNNNNNNNNNNNNNNNNNNNNNNNNNNNNNNNNGCCCGCCAUGCGGUAAUCCACGUAGACAGAUCAUUUCCACAAGUUAAUAAGGAAUGAAUACAAAGGAUCAUUCACCAUGCAUGCAGUAAUCCACAUAGACAGGUUAUUCCAACAGAGUAAUAAAGAAUGGAACCAGGUCAUGCGUAAUCCUCACAGACAUGAUAUUCCAACAGAAUAAUAAAAAAUGGAACCAGGUCAUGCGUAAUCCGCACAGACAGGAUGUUCGAACAGAAUAUUAAAGAAUGGAACUAGGUCAUGCGUAAUCCGCACAUACAGGAUGUUCCAACAGAAUAAUAAAGAAUGGAUUAACAACGGAAUUCACCAGGUAUGCGAUAGAUCGCACAGACAGGUUAUUCCAACAGAAUAAUAAAGAAUGGAAUAACAGAAGAAUUUCACCAUAUAUGCGAUACUUCGCAUAGACAGGUUAUUCCAUCAUAAUAAUAAAGAAUGAAAUCACAACCCUUACGAGUAUUGAAAGAAAAUAACUCUCUUCAUGAAUACGAAAGAAUAAUACCCCUUACGAGUAUUGAAAGAAAAUAAUUCUCUUCAUGAAUACGAAAGAAAUAAUACCCCUUACUAUAAUAAUAAUAUCCCUUACUAUAAUAAUAAUAUCCCUUACCUUAAAAAGAAGAGUAUUCUGACGUGUAGGACGGGGAUAUACUUGAAGAAAACAUGCACUAUUUUCUAUGCUCAAAGCUUUCUUAAACUCUAAAGAAAUACGCUCAAGAUUAUAGAAGAAGAUUUCUAUGAAUUUCUGGUGUGAUUUUUAAUUCUAGCUAAGCAUCCUAUUUAUAGGAGAAUGGAAAGGAUACUAUGUAAUAAAAUAAUAUAUAUAUAUAUAUAUAUAUAUAUAUAUUUAUAUUUGUAUAUUUUAUUUAAAAUCUAAUAAAACAAAUAACUUUAUAAAAAUAUUCUGUUUUAUAUAAAAAGAUUUUACUAUGCAAAUACUAUGCAGGCACUAUGCAUAAUAAAAUAUAAUAUAUUCUAUUUAUAAUCUAAUAAAAUAAAUAACUUUAUAAAAGUAUUAUAUUUUAUAUAAAAAGAUUUUACUAUGCCAAUACUAUGCAGGCACUAUGCAAACACUACGCAUAAAAAAAAUAUUAUAUUAUAUUUAUAAUCUAAUAAAACAAAUGACUUUAUAUAAGUAUUUUGUUUUAUAUAAAAAGAUUUUACUAUGCCAACACUAUGCAGGCAUUAUGCAAACACUAUGCAUAAUAAAAUAUAUUAUAUUCUAUUUAUAAUCAAAUAAAACAAAACUUUAUAAAAAGUUUUCUGUUUUAUUACAUUUAUAAUAAUAAUAAAACAAAAUUCAUCAUCAUUAUUAUAAUUCACACUAUUAAUCGACCAGGUCGUUCCCAGGAAAGAGGGGGCUUUCCAAUAAGGAUUUCUCCCUAUUGGCGCUCAAUUAGGUGACCAAACAUCUCCUUGACAGAACUUUUAGACAUCGUUAAUAUUGCAAAUAAUAAUAUUAAUAACUUUGUUAUCUCAAUUAUUGAUUUAAUAAUAUAUAAAAUAUCGACAAUAACUGAAUCAAAUAACGUGAGAUACUAUGUAGCAAUUACUGUAACAAUAAUUGAGCAAAACUGAGUGACUUCUCACGUAAGCAUUAAUAAUCAAUACCUGGUGCUACUAUGCAACCACGCAUAUUACUGAACUUUUACCACCGAUUAUUUUAUGACAACUUGCUUACUUUGUAAAAUUUUCAAAUAUCACCCUUAACUUUAACCCUUUAUCAAUUUAGCCAUUUACUAAAUAAAAUAAUAAUUAUAAGAAAAUUGAGUAUUUUCAUUUCAUAAAUUUCGGGAUCUCACAAUCUCCCCUCCUUUUGAAAUUUCGCCCUCAAAAUUUAUGUACGUACCUGGUAUUUCGAAGAGAUGGGAAUACCUUGCUUUCUUUUCGGAUUGUACCUUCCCAGUUAUUUCCUCUGUAUCAUAAUUUUCCCAUUUCUCAUCUCCUGAGUUUCAGAUAUCAUUCUAGAAUAUACUUCAAAAUAAAGGUUAAUUGACAUAUCAUAAUUUGUCAACUUAUCAAGUAAACAAUUUCAGCUUAGGUAAGUUACACACUAACGAAGUAUAUUACUCGUCUCCCCCCUCCUAGUUCUAGACUCAUAUCUCCGCCAGCGACCAUAUCCCUAAGCUCUGAUACCAAAUGUGACGCCCCCAAAAUAGGUAUACAUCACUCAUCUUGAGUCGCCAGAAAAUACACUAUUGACAACAUCAUUUAUACAACUGUCAUGCAAAAUACGACGACAUGUAUACUAUGAGUUUAAAUACAAAUAUAUAUACCAACUCUGACUCAUGUCACAAUUGCACCUUAUAUAAAGGUACAGUCAAUAACUGUUUUAGAAAUUAAAAUAUUUGGGAAGUGCUCAAGAAAACCAUCGUACAUGGGAGGCCAUACGUCUAGGUUAUGAUAGAUAUCAUAUGUGUAGAAAAUUAUCCUUGGUUGACCCAAUAGACCCCAAAGAAAAACGAGAAGAUUACUAUCAUGUUCCUUCCAAUGGUGAGUCUUCUCUUGAUAUAUAACUAUCUCCACUGUCUGUAAUUGAGAACUAUAUUUUAACCAAACUCCAAGAUUAUAUAGGUAAUGCUCGUAGAUAUACUAAGAAAGUGGAUGUUCUUAACCCUGUCUUAUGAUAACACGAGGUUGUAUAUCAUUAGACAUCUGGUAUGAUAGUAGCGAAACACCCUUCCAAAGUUGGGUUGACCUCACCCUAUUCGGUUCACCAAAAUUAAAUAUCAAAUGGUGUAUACAAUACGACACACUUAUCUAAAGUUCUCAAUAAAAUUAUUUCCAUACUAUUUAGGGAGAGCCUCAACAGCUAUAGACCAUCGUUCUAUUCUCCUGUUAUUCCGCUCGACCCAGCUUCACUCUUAUUACUUGAAAGGAAUUGUGAAGCAAAAACGGUGAGCACAACUAGCCCAGUAAAGAAUAUCAUGACUAAAAAUAAUUUACCUCAUCAAUAGCCUUCAUCAGUAAUAAAUCAGAGAUUUAGAACAUAUAGUAGAUGAUAAAACUUUUCAACCAUAGUUGCAGUGGAACGAGCAAUCCAUUAGAAGAGUCAAAUAGACCAUAAAGUCUAUUAUCUUCUCCACGUUAAAAUUCCACCAACAAUAUUUUAUCCCUGUAACAUCAAUCAACAGUUCAUUUCCACAAUCAUAUAAAUAACUCAUAUUCAUAAUUGUGAUUCUAAAUCCCUCUUCGCACCCAGGACGAAGAUAAUUUUCAUCACCUAUCUUUACCUGAAACAUCAAAGAUCAUGGUUAUUCCAAAUCACAGUUCCUGUUUAUAAUCAUACUUAUAAAUUCAUCUUUGCACUAUGGGCUAAAGAUAUUCAUUAUCAUUUCAUCUUUGCACUACAGGCCGAAGACAUACAACUGUAUUUUAGAAGAGUCAAGUAGAGCAUGAUAUCUACUAUCUUCUAAGAAUUUAAAAGUUUAUUAUAAAUAUUUUAUCGUUGAGACUCAACUUAAUAAAUAAUCCACAUCAUCGAAUCACCCCUGCACUAAAGCCAAGGAUAUUCGUUAAUAUCACAUCCAUGAAUUAUCCAUGUACAACGGGUCAAUGAGGACAUUUACCACAUCAUUUGUAACAUUACGGUCAUGAUUAUACCGAAUAAUUCCUGGUCAUAAUCAUACCAAGUCCAUCUAUGCACUACAGGCCACAGAUGACUUUCAUCAUAAUAUAAGCAUGAGGAUAAUGACAAUAAUAUAAAGAAUCAAUCAAAUGAGAUAAAGGAUAAAUAUUAAACAUUUAUAAUACUAUUUAUCCAGCGUUCAAUAAUAACCAAAUGUUAUCCAUCACUUAAUUAGCUCAUAAUCUAAUAUCAUUAAUAUUAUAACAAUAUUUUAAUCAUUUCUUAAACUUAUAAACAAUUUAUUUUAAUUGUUUACACUUUACUAAUUAAUGCAUUUAAUCAUCCUAAAAUGCCAAACUCAUAAGAUUUCAUCAUCAAUAACCAAAACUUUCGUCACAAAUCUGCAUAUACCUUAUAUAGGAUUUCCAAGCCAUAAAAUUCUAUUUUCUAAUUUUGUUACUUCACAUAACAUAUUUAUUUUAUUUACUCAUAACUAGUUCAUUUUAAUGAAAAAUAUCAAAUCAGUCCCAAAAAUAUUUCUUUUUCUGGGAUUUAGCAUAAUAUAGUCUCAUAUUAAACAUAUAUUUUUCUCGGAAUUUUAAAAAUUCAUUUACUAUUUUUCAUAUGGCCAAAACUGCCGAAUAUUAAGACAUUUUUUAUAAACUGUACUUUUGUCCAAAAAUUCUGAAAUUUACACGGUAUACUUCGGUUAUAUAUAUGUACUCCCAAUAAAAAUUUCACCAAUUUUGGAGUUAACCACAAGGAGUUAUAAGGGUUUACUUUUAAAAUAGUCUUUUCCCAUAAAAUUCAUAACUCUUAAUCUAUACAUCAAAAAAUCGCCAUUUUUAGACACAAUAUAGAAAACUCAUCAAAUUAUCAUUUCAAAUUUUUCCAGAAUUUUUGAGGGUCAGAAAAAUUACGAAACUGCAAAUGAAUUUUCGCCCGCCAUGCGGUAAUCCACGUAGACAGAUCAUUUCCACAAGUUAAUAAGGAAUGAAUACAAAGGAUCAUUCACCAUGCAUGCAGUAAUCCACAUAGACAAGUUAUUCCAACAGAGUAAUAAAGAAUGGAACCAGGUCAUGCGCAAUCCGCACAAAUAGGAUAUUCCAAUAGAAUAAUAAAAAAUGGAACCAGGUCAUGCGUAAUUCGCACAGACAGGAUGUUCCAACAGAAUAAUAAAGAAUGGAACCAGGUCAUGCAUAAUCCGCACAGACAGGAUGUUCCAACAGAAUAAUAAAGAAUGGAAAAACAACGGAAUUCACCAGGCAUGCGAUAGACCGCACAGACAGGUUAUUCCAAUAGAAUAAUAAAGAAUGGAAUAACAUAAGAAUUUCACCAUAUAUACGGUACUUCGUAUAGACAGGUUAUUCCAACAUAAUAAUAAAAAAUGGAAUCACAACCCUUAUGAGUAUUGAAAGAAAGUAACUCUCUUCAUAAAUGUGAAAGAAUAAUACCCCUUACGAGUAUUGAAAGAAAAUAAUUCUCUUCAUGAAUACGAAAGAAAUAAUACCCCUUACUAUAAUAAUAAUAUCCUUUACCUUAAAAAGAAGAGUAUUCCGACGGGUAGGGCGGGGAUAUACUUGAAGAAAACUUGCACUAUUUUCUACACUCAAAGUUUUUUUAAACUCUAAAGAAAAUGCUCAAGAUUAUAGAAGAAGAAUUCUGUAAAUUUUUGGUGUGAUUUUCAAUUCUAACUAAGCAUCCUAUUUAUAGGCGAAUGGAAAGGAUACUAUGCAAUAAAAUAUAAUAUAUAUAUAUAUAUUUAUAUUUUAUUUAAAAUCUAAUAAAACAAAUAACUUUAUAAAAGUAUUUUAUUUUAUAUAAAAAGAUUUUACUAUGCAAACACUAUGCAUGCACUAUGCAAACACUAUACAUAAUGAAAUAUAAUAUAUUCUAUUUAUAAUCUAAUAAAACAAAUAACUUUAUAAAAGUAUUCUGUUUUAUAUAAAAAGAUUUUACUAUGCCAACACUAUGCAGGCACUAUGCAAACACUAUGCAUAAUAAAAUAUAUUAUAUUCUAUUUAUAAUCUAAUAAAACAAAUAACUUUAUAAAAGUAUUCUAUUUUAUAUAAAAAGAUUUUACUAUGCCAACAUUAUGCAGGCACUAUGCAAAUACUAUGCAUAAUAAAAUAUAUUAUAUUCUAUUUAUAAUCAAAUAAAACAAAACUUUAUAAAAAGUAUUCUGUUUUAUAUAUAAAAAAAAUUCUAUUUUAUUACAUUUAUAAUAAUAAUAAAACAAAAUUCAUCAUCAUUAUUAUAAUUCACACUAUUAAUUGACCAGGUCGUUCCCAGGAAAGAGGGGGCUUUCUAAUAAGGAUUCUCCCUAUUGGCGUACAAUUAGGUGACCAAACCUCUCCUUGACAGAACUUCUAGACCUCGUUAAUAUUGCAAAUAAUAAUAUUAAUAACUUUGUUAUUUCAAUUAUUGAUUUAAUAAUAUAUAAAAUAUCGACAAUAAUUGAAUCAAAUAACGUGAGAUACUAUGCAGCAAUUACUGUAGCAAUAAUUGAACAAAACUGAGUGACUUCUCACGUAAGCAUCAAUAAUCAAUACCGUGUGCUACUAUGAAACCACACGUAUUACUGUACUUUUACCACCGAUUAUUUUAUGACAACUUGCUUACUUUGUAAAAUUUUCAAAUAUCACCCUUAACUUUAACCCUUUAUCAAUUUAGCCAUUUACUAAAUAAAAUAAUAAUUAUAAGAAAAUUGAGUAUUUUCAUUUUAUAAAUUUUGGGGUCUCACAGAGUAUGUAUCCGAUCAUUAUUUAUUAGUACAGUAUUAUUGUAUAAUAUUAUGUUCGUUAAUUUCUAAAUAUGGUUAUACAAGUGUCCUCACUUGGAUAAUCAUUGUAUUUAUUCACAUGUGGAUACAUACUUAUUUAUUUCUAUUAUGUAUACCUUAAUAUAAAGUCGUCUAAGCUAUUUGACCUAGCUAGACACAGAUUCAGAAAUAUCGUUGAAUAUGAUAAAACCUUUUUGUAUCCAAUCAAAUUUCUUUAGUUCGGAUUCCUGACUAAUUAUGAAUAUCCCGAACAUGGGAAAACUUUUAUGCACCAAGGCGGACAAAGUGAACAAUGAUAUCGUUCUUGAAUGUAGUAUUGAUCAAUACAGGGCAUAACGGGCUGAUCACCCCCCGUGCCCGUAAGUUAUGACGGUUUACAGAUGAAGUUUUGUUUAACCUUUUUGAAAAUAGAAAACAAUAUAUUAUAUAUAUAGAAAUAAUAUAUUGUUAUGAUUGGUUCAGUUUACUUCACAACUAUUGAUUCGUUGUAGAAGUGUAGUACAAAGAAAACAUUUAAUCCUUUCAGUUAAUACUUAUGAUUGCUAUUACUUGCUGGGCACUCAAAUGCUCAUCCUUGCUUAAUUUAAAUGUUUUCAACUAAGUGUGAACAACCAGAAGGCUCUGCCAAGAAUAAAGGAAAAGAGAAGGUGGCUGAAUGAGUUUUUAUGAUAUUUAUGUAAUAAUUUAACUUUAUUAUGAUAAGGAUGAUAUAUAUUAUUAUUAUUAUCAUGUAAUGAAUGAAUUAAAGGUUACGUACUUGGGAGCUAGACUCUGAUAUUUAUGUAAAUUAAGUUAAAUAUUUAUAUUAUUGUUAUUAUUAUUAGUAUUAUUCUGCUCAUAGAAAUGGUAUCGUGAAGCACCGAGUUCGGGUUUCAAGUACCAGAAUUUGGGGGCUUUAUAGAAUGGUAUCAGAGCUUUAGGGUUAAAAAUCUUAGGUGGGAUAGACCUUAGGCUAUAACCUUGAGACAUAAGGAAAAGUUAAAAAUACAAAUAACUAAUAUAGAGUUUAAAAAGAGACGAAUUGAGUAAAUUCAUCAUCAAAACAAAAUAAAAGAUAACCCAUAUAAAACUAUUAUUUGUUGUGUGUAUAUAUUAUGUGUUAAUCAAGAUAGUUGGUGUGUAGAUGUUAGAUGGAUAAGGAUUGGGAUACCCUCAGAUCGUAAAGAAGGAGCCAACCUCCAUAACCGAGCUAAUAUCAAAGCCAAUAGCUGAAAUAGAGGCUCACACUAAAAGCUACCUCAAUGAGGUGGUUAUUUUGGAAAAUGUAGUACUGGACCCAGAAACGAUAGUAUAACUGACAGGUAGAGUAUAGUUAAAGAAUGAUAUGAAUACUUCAAUACUACAAACAUAAGUGUUUAAGAACUCGAUAUGAAUACUUCAAUACUACAAACAUAAGAGUUUAAGAACUCGAGCUUAAUCUUAUAUUCUUGAAUUACUACUCCCUUUCUUCACCAGCCCUUGAACCCUUGACCUCUAGAAACUCAAUAAUCAAACGAGUACCAAAUGGCUACAAGGAGGACUAGUAUAGUUAUGUGUGAAUGGAUUAUCGAGGAUAAUGGGAAUAUAUAGAAUACUAAGCAUUAAUCCUUAGCAAAGGUGUAGAAGAUAAGUAGUAUUAGUAUUACUUGAAUGAGUAUGAUUCUCUGUGGUGUAAAUGAUAGGUAUGUCUGUGUAAUAUAAUAUUCUUAACUUUUGUAUAAGUUAUGGCAGCGAUUCCCAACUUUUGAGUCACAAAGGGAUAGCCGAUGUUUAAAGCAAUAUGUUUAUGGUAUGUAAAGUACUAUGAAUAUUAAUCUAUGUUGGAUUAAUGAAAUAAGUUGGUAUAAAGAUAGUAAUUAUUUAUCUGAACAUUGGUUAAUAUGGCAAACCAAAGUUUUCAAAAUCUAAUAUUUUGAAUACAUGAUUAUUUGAGUAGAAAAUUUCGCAUUAUGUGUAUACCCUAAGACAUAGAAGGUAAGUUGAUGAAAGAUAAAUUAUGAUUAAUCAGAUAAUCUCGCCAAGACGAAAAUGAAAUCAACAGACAGAAGAAUCUAUCGAUAAAGCUGGGAGACAACCAGACCUGAUACAGAAUUUUGCGAUUUUGGUCGCUCAAGAUAUGCAGAAUGGAAUACUAGCCGUGGGAAAUCAGUUAGAGAAUCGAUUAGCGAACUUGAAAGACUUCAAGAUAGUCGGAACGCUAGGAUUUAGAGGAUCAAUCGACCCUGUAGAAGCAUUUGUGAUAGCUGGGGUAACGGAGGGGCAAAAGACAACUUUUGCCACCUAUACGAUGAAAGGGGAGACAAAUUUUUGGUGGGAGGAAAAUCAAGCUAAAGCCGAAGAAGGAAGUAGUGGGGGUAGGACUGGAAAAAGGAAAUGAAAUAAGAAAGGGGAUAAUUUCGGUAAUACCAAAAUUAGGCUAGGAGGUGGAAAAAAAAUAGGUUAUGCAGUGUAGAAAUUACAGAAAGAAUCACUCGAGAGAGUGUCUUAAAGGUAAGUUUGUGUGUUAUAAUUGUGGGUAGAAGGGACAUAUCUCUCCCAACUGCCCUAAUUCGAGAAUGUAUAGUGGAUGUUUUAUUUGUGAAUCAAUGGAGCAUAAGGUGAAAGAUUGUCCAAGAAGGGGAAAGGAAGCAAGGAAUGCAAAUACGGAAAAAGGCAACAGGACAUUGGCGAUACCAGGACAUUCAACAAAUAAACCAAUAUAAUAAACCGCAAGAGUCUUCAAUAUGACCGUUCAAGAUACCGUGGCAGCUGAGGAUGCAACUCCAGGUAUUAUUCAUAUAACUUUUAUUUUCUUAAAUAUGAUUUUCUUAUAUAUAGUAAUUAUUUUAUAAAUUAUUUUGAAGGAGGAAAUUGAGUUCUAUUAAAAAUCAAUUUUCCGUUUAAGCAGAUAGACAAGCUUUAUGCUAAAUAGUUAAAGAACGGUUCGAUCAAUUAUGAUCAAGAAUGUAAUGAUUGUGUAUGCUAUGUACCCUUGUAUAUAUAGGUUUUAAAACGGUGAUUCCGGGGACGAAAUCUUUAUAAGGGAGGGUGAAUGUAACAACCCGAUAUUUUUUAUAUAAAUAAAUCAGAAAUUUUGCAUAUAAUUUUUUUAAUUUAUUAAAAUAAAUAUGGGGAAUAUGUGCCAAGAUAAUGUGUAUAUGUAUUUAUGUGAUAAAUAAAAAUAUAUUUAUUACCUAAAUAAUUAUUGCAAAUAAAUUUUUAUGUUAGAAUUAUUGAUCAUUAUAAGUUAUAUUCUUAUAAUAACUAAUUUUAUAGUAGAAAUGUUUUUAUUAAUUAUUUUCCAUGAAAAUAUAAUUAUAUAUUAUUUAAAUAAUAUAUGAAAUGAUUUUUAGAAUUAUUAUAAUAAUUAUUUAUUUUAUUAUAUGAAUUUAUGUUAGAUUAAUUAAGUUAAUUAUUUUUUUAACUCAAUUAAUAAUGCUAUAUAUGAAAGAUAAAUCAGAUAUAGAAUCUAAACCCUAAUUUUAGAUUUUUGUCAAGGAAUGAGAAUAAUAAUAUAAUAUUAUUUUAUUUCUGCGCUAUAAAUAUGUAUUGUAUGUAUAUGGACUGACAAUGGUUGGUCAAUUAUGGUGUAUUAUGUCAAACCCUAGUUUUACUGUGUUAAACCCUAAUUUGAAACUCACAUUAGAGUUCAAGAUUGUUUGUAAUUGUGUUAAUGUUAUUAAUUAACAAGUGUUAGAAUUAUAAUUAUUAAUUAGAGAAACCCUAAAUUUUUGAAACCCUAAUUAAUGUGUAUAAACUCUAAUUUUUAUAUUUGAAACCCUAACUGUCAAAUUAGGAAACCAUAAUUGAUAAUUUAGAAUGUUUAAUGUUAAUUAGUAAAUUUUAAACCCUAAUAUUCAUGUAUAAUGUAAUUAGAAACCUAAUCUAAUUAAGAAAACUUUAAUUUGUAAUUUUUAGAAAUUAUUUUUUUUAUUUUUUUAAACUAAAAUUUUACAUUUUUCAAACCCUAAUAGCCAAAUCUUACAAAUGAUAUGUGCUAAACCUUAGGGUUAAACCCUAAGGGUUUGUCAAGAUUACAAAAUGGCCAUUAAAAAUGCAGGCAAAAAGACUAAAAUGCCCCUCUAGCAUUAUUUAAGGUAACUUGUGUAUCUUGCCAUAUUUUGAGUUGGUGACCAAACCUAGAUAUCCCAUGUGACUUAAAGACACUAAAAUCAGCCACCUAUCCUAGCCAAUUCAUGCAUCUAGCUUAGUAUAUAUAGAUUUGAGAGAGAGAGAAAAUGUUACAUGCUAGCUCAUUUUGUACAAACUCUCAUCCUUGACUCUCUCAACUCAUAACCCAUGAAAUCAUUUGCUAAGAUCAGUCACAAACCAAGCCCCACUAUUACUUUUAACAAAAUCAGAAGCCAUAAUCAAGAUUAAGCCAAGAAAGGUAUAAAACCCUAAGCUAUAAUCUGACUUUUAUUUCCAUGUUAGAUGUUAGUUUUUGUGUGUUAAACAUGUUGUUUAUAAUCCAUAUAGUUGAUCUGGGUUGGUAGAUGAUAGAUCAAUAACAUCUAAGUGCACGAAUUUAAAAUUUUUCAAAAUCUGGAAAAAAGUUUAAAGUAUGGUCUGACAACGAAUGUCAGUGGCCAUCAAUCUUUCUCUGUUAUGUGUUUUUGUUGUUUAAAGCUUUGAUCUUGUAUUCUGAUAUGUGCUCUUUGAUCUGGAUCAAGAAUCACGCUUAGAUCCGGUCUAGAUUGCAAAUUAUUCGUGGUCAAACCACGUUGACCGGAAUUGACCAGAAGAAAUCUGGGCAGCCCAGAACAUGCCCAAAUAGGUCUGACAAGAAGUUCAUGGCCUUUGAUCUUUCUGUUUGUUGUUUGUUUGUUGUUUUUGUUGCAUCUAGAUUGUAGUCUGGUGUAUGAACUUCAUGUUUAUGCCUUAAAAUAUCCUAAAAAUUAAACUGAAUGAAAGUAGUAACUGGUCAAAGUAGCUAAGUAGUUCACGUUUAUGGUUUUCUGGGAAACCCAGAAAAUCUAUGAACAUGGGUUCUGACAAUAUUUGACCGGAUCUCAUAUGCUUGAACUGUUCUGCAUUUCUGGGUAACCCAGAAAUGAAGAACAACCUCUGACAGCUACUUUAAUGGCUCAGAUCUCUUUGGUUAUAUGUUGUAUGAACCUGUUUGUUAUUGGAUCUUGUAGUCUUGCAUUAGUACUACACGAUCUGAUCAACAGCAUGCCCAGAAACACAAUACACACUUGUUUAAUAUUGGUCAAACAUGGUCACUCAGUCACUACACAUGAAUUUCUGGGUUUAUGAAGAAUAUGAAGAACACCUAUAGUGACGGUUCUGUCGCUAUAGGUGGUCUUUAGCGACAGUUUAUUUAUAAAAAUUAUAUUUUUAUUUAAUAAUUAUAGAAAAUUAGUUUUUAAUUAUUAAAAAUACAUAAUAAAUUAUUAAAAAUUAUUUUAAAGUCCAAAAAUUAGUUUUUAAUUAUUUUAAGUAUAUUUCAUAAAUAUUUAAUAUUUUUGAAAUAUUAAUUUUAUUUAAUAAUAUAAUAAAUAAAUUAUUUAAAAAUGAUUUUAAUACUUAAAAAAUCAUUUAAAAUUAUAUUAUGGUAUAAGAAAAUAUUUUAAGUUAUUUUUAAUGACUUUUAAUAUUUUGUGAAGAAAUUUAUUAAUAAAUUAAUAUUAAUGAUAAUUUAGUUAUUUAAUAAAUAAAUUAAAUAAAUAAUUUAAAAAUGAUUUUAUUAUAUUAAAAAUCUUUUUAAAUAAUAAUAAGGUAUUUAAAAAUAUUUUAAGUUAUAAAAUAUAACUUUUAAUAUUUAAAGGUAAAUUUCAUUAAUUAAUUAUUAUUAAUGAUAUUAAAGUUAUUUAAUAAACAUAUUAAAUAAUUUAGUUUUAAAAUGAUUUUAUUAUUAUAAAAAUCAUUUUAAAUAAAAAUAAAGUGCUUAAAGAUAUUUUAAGUUAUAAAUAUAACUUUUAAUAUUUAAAGGAUAAUUUCAUUAAUAAUUUAAUUUUAAUGAUAUUAAUUUAAUGUUAAUAAUAUUAAAUUUAUUUAAUAAUUAUAUUAAAUAAAUGGUUUAAAAUGGUUUUAUUAAUCAUUUAAAAAGGAUAUAAAUGAAUUAAAAAUAUUUUAAGUUAUACUUAAUGACUUUUAAUAUUUUAAGGAAUAGUACAUUAAUAUUUUAAUAUUAAUGGUAAUUUAAAAAUGAUUUUAAAUGUUUUAAAAAUCAUUUAAGGGUAAUAUAAAUGUUUUAAAAAUAUUUUGUCAAUGAUUUCAUUAAUAGUUUAAUAUUAAUUAAAUAUUAAUGAUAAUAGAAUUGUUUAAUGUUUAAAUCAUUUAAUAAUGAUUCCGGUGUUUAAAAAUUCACGAUAAAUUAUAAUAAAUAUUUUAAAAUUAUUAUAAGUCAUUUAAAAAUAAUAUGACUGAUACGUACAGAUAUUGAACUUCACGAUAGAGUCUUAGACUCGAUAAUUACCUGAUAAAGCCGUCGGUAGACCAACAUGUUUCAGAAAUUGAUCUGGACUUAGAUAAUUUGAUUAGAUAUGUGUUUGUUUGUGUUCCAAUAUGUGACGCCCCCAAAAUAGGUCCACACGACCCAUUCUGAGUCGCCAGAUAUCACACUACAGAAAUCAAAUAUAAACUUCAUUUAUACAACUUUUGAAUUGUCGUGUAGAGUACGACAACAGAUAAGCUGUGAGUUUCAAUACAAAAUCUAUGUAAUUCUCAUGGUGCCUCGACCACAAUACCUUACAAAGGUACUUUACAUAAAAGUACAGUUAAUAACUAUUUUAGAAAUUAAAAUCUUUAGAAAAUGCUCAAGGAAACCUUCAUACAUGGGAGGCCAUGCAUCUAAGUUAUGAUAUAUAUCUUAUGACUCGAGAAUUAUCCUUGGUUGACACAAUAGACCCCAAAGAAAAAUGAAAAGAUUACUGUCAUGCUCUUUCCAAUGGUGAGUCUUCUCUUAUUAUAUAAUUAUCUCCAUUGUCUCCAAGCGAUAAUUAUAUUUCAAAUAAACUCCAAGAUUAUAUAGGUAGUGCUCGUAGAUAUACUCAGCAAGUGGAUGUGCACAACCCUGUCUUAUGAUAACACGAAGUUGUAUGUCAUUUGAAAUCUUGUAUGAUAGUGGCAAAAUACCCUUCCAAAGUUGGGUUCACCUCACCCUAUUCGGUUCACCAAAAUUAAAUAUCAAAUGACGUAUACAAUACGACACACUUAUCUAAAGUUCUCAAUAAAAUUAUUUCCAUACUAUUUAGGGAGAACCUCAACAGCUAUAGACCACCGUUCUAUUCCCCUGUUACCCCCGCUCGACCCAGCUACACUCUUAUUACCUGAAAGGAAUUGUGAAGCAAAAGGGUGAGCACAACUAGCUCAGUAAAGAAUAUCAUGACUAAAGAUAAUUAAAUCAUCAAUAGCCUUCAUCAGUAAUAAAUCAGAGAUUUAGAACAUAUGGUAGAUGAUAAAACUUUUCAACCAUAGUUGCAGCGGAAUGAGCAAUCCAUUAGAAGAGUCAAAUAUACCAUAGGGUCUAUUAUCUUCUCCAUGUUAAAAGUCCACCAAUAAUGUUUUAUCCCUGUAACAUCAAUCAACAAUUCCUAUCCACAAUCAUGUGAAUAACUCAUAAUCAUAAUUGUGAUUCUAAAUUUCUCUUUUUCACCAAGGACGAAGAUAAUUUUUAUCACCUAUCUUUACCUGAAACAUCAAAAAUCAUGGUUAUAGCAAAUCAUAAUUCUUGUUCACAAUCAUACUAAUAAAUUCAUCUUUGCACUAUGGGCCAAAGAUAUUCAUUAACAAUUCAUCUUUUCUCUAACAGGCCAAAGACAUACAACUGUAUUAUAAAAGAGUCAAGUAGAGCAUGAUAUCUACUAUCUUUUACGAAUUAAAAGUGUAUAAUCAAUAUUUUAUCGCUGAAACUCAGCUUAAUAAAUAAUCCACAUCAUUGAAUCAUCCUUGCACUACGACCAAGGAUAUUCAUGUAAUCAACAAUGGUCAUGAUUAUACCGAAUAAUCCCUGGUUAUAAUCAUACCAAUAAUUGUCCAUCAAUGCACUACAUGCCAAUGAGGACUUUUACCACAUCAUCUAUAACAUUACGGGUCAUGAUUAUACCGAAUGAUCCCUGGUCAUAAUCAUACCAAGAAACAGUUCAUCUAUGCACAUAAGCCAAAGAUACUCAUCAAUCAAUAAUUCAUCUUUGCACGUAAGCCAAAGAUAUACAACAGUAAAAUCAAUAAUCAACAGUCCAUCUUUGCACGUAAGCCAAAGAUGACUUUCAUCACAAUAUAAGCAUGAGGAUGAUGACAAUGAUAUAAGCAUUAAUCAAACGAAAACAAGGAUAAAUAUUAAAGACUUUAAAUUUAUCCAAAUAUUAUCAAUCACUUAAUAAACUCAUAAUCUAAUAUUAUUAAUAUUAUAACAAUAUUUUAAUCACUUCUUAAACUUAUAAACAAUUUAUUUUAAUUGUUUACACUUUACCAAAUAAUGCAUUUAAUCAUUCAAAAAUGCCAUACUCAUAAGAUUUCAUCUCCAAUAAUCAAAUCCCUCAUCAAAAAUCUGCAUAUAACAUAUAUAUGAUUCCCAAGCCAUAAAAUCUUAUUUUCCAAUUUUGUUACUUCACAUAACAUAUUUAAUUCAUUUACUCAUAACUAGUUAAUUUUCAUGAAAAAUACCAAAUCAGCCCCAAAAAUAUUUCUUUUCUGGGAUUUAGCAAAAUAUAGUCCCAUAUUGAACAUAUAUUUUUCUCGGAAUUUUAAAAAUUCAUUUACUAUUUUUCAUAUUGCCAAAACUGCCGAAUAUUUAAAAAUUUAUCAUAAAUUGUACUUUUGUCCAAAAAUUCCGAAAUUUACAUGGUAUACUCCUGUUAUAUACAUGUACUCCCAAUAAAAAUUUCACCAAUUUUGGAGUUAACCACAAGGCGUUAUAAAGGUUUACUUUUAAAAUAGUCUUUUCCCAUAAAAUUCAUAACUCCUAAUCUAUACAUCCAAAAAUCGCCAUUUUUGGACACAAUCUAGAAAACUCAACAAAAUACCAUUUUAAUUUUUUCCAGAAUUUUUGAGGGUCAGAAAAAUUACAAAACUGUAAAUGGAUUUUCACCCGUCAUGCAGUAAUCCGCGUAGACAGAUCAUUUCCACAAUUUAAUAAGGAAUGAAUACAAAUGAUCAUUCACCAUGCAUGCAGUAAUCCACAUAGACAUGUUAUUCCAACAUAAUAAUAAAGAAUGGAAUAACAGAAGAAUUCACCAUGCAUGCGAUAGACACACAGACAUGUUAUUCCCAACAGAAUAAUAAAGAAUGGAAUAACAAAAAAAUUCACCAGGCAUGCGAUAGACCGCACAGACAGGUUAUUCCAACAUAAUAAUAAAGAAUGGAAUAACAACCCUUACGAGUAUUAAAAGAAAAUAACUCUUCAUGAAUAUGAAAGAAUAAUACCCCUUACCUUAGAAGAAACUGGAUACUGGAAUAGAAAGGUAGCAGACUUCUCUUCUUCUUUCUCGCUAUAAUUUCUCUCUAUAAUAAUUGCUCUAUAACUUUAAUGAAUUGGUGAGAAAUGAAGGAAGAAUGAGCUUCUAUUUAUAGGAAAAUAUAGUUUCGAUAAUUACACGUUUUGAGGCUCAAAAUAUUACAUUACAAUACCUUCAACUUUUCUUUUAUUUUUUAUUUAGUCCUGCAAGUAUUAUCAAACUUGCACUACCUCCCCUAAUAGUAAAUCAUGUGAAUUAAUAGUUCAUUCAUGUGACUUAAUAGUUAUAAUUAUGUGAAAAUACGAAUUAUAGUAUAGUACCUCCAUCUAUACCUCCAUUUUUAACUUAGUCAUGCAAGUAUUAUUAAUCUUGCACCACCUUCCCUAAUAGUACAUGAAUGUGAAUCAAUAGUACACACAUGUGAACAAAUAGUUAUAAUCAUAUGAAUCAAUAGUAAUUAAUUGUUCAUUUAUCCGAUUAAUUACUAGAUUGGUCAAUAUAACCUCGAAACAUUAAUUAUUAUCGAAAUAAAUGUCGAUUUUCACUAACACUAAUAAUCCCAACACAAUGGAAAUAUUUUUCUCAAAAAUUUCAUUUUUGAAAUUUUGAAGUUUGACUUUUUCUGAAAAAGUCAACUGUUGACUUUUUUGACCAAAAAGUCAACCCCAACAAAUUUUGUGUUUAUAGUCUAUUUCUACUAAUUUCAUCGUUCUGGACUCAAAUAUCAUGUUCGCAUCUCUAAAUUCAACUCCAAACUCAAAUUCGAUUUUUAAUAACAUUCAUAAUUAAUAUUAUAACUCACAAUAUUUAACAACCAGGUCGUUCCCAGGAAAGAGGGAGCAUUCCGAUAAGGAUUUCUCCUUAUUGGCGUGCAAUUAAGUGACCAAACCUCUCCUUGAUAGAACUUUUAGACAUUGUCAAUAUUGCAAAUAAUAAUAUGAAUAACUUUGUCGUCUCAAUUAUUGAUUUAAUAAUAUAUAAAAUAUUAUGUAGAUGAUAUUGUGACAAUAAUUGAAUCAAUAAUAUGAGAGAUAUGAUGCAACAAUAAUUAUAGCAAUAAUUGAGUAUAACUGAGUGACUUCUCACAUAAGCAUUAAUAAUCAAUACCGUGUACUACUAUGCAACCACGCGUAUUACUGUACUUUUACUACUGGUUAUUUUAUGACAACUUGCUUACUUUGAAUUUUUUUUUUCAAAUAUGACCCUUAACUUUAAACUUUUAUCAAUUUAACUAUUUACCAAAAUAGAAAAAUUGAAUACUUUUAUUUCAUAAAAUUCGGGAUCUCACACAAUGACGGUUGAACAUGGGUGACAAUGUGAUUAGGUUAUGUGCUGUCUGCAAAAUGAAGUACUAUGUGUUAUAGUAUAUUGUUCUAAUCGAACGAAUGAUCUUAUUAAUGAUAUGUCGUGAUAGAAAAGAUAAAACUAAGUUGUGUAUUGUAAGCAGCAGACCAGGCAAGUAUCCUACCUUUGCAUUUACUUUAUGCAAUGGAUAUAAGUAAGAAAGUUUUAGAUUUAUAUUAUUAUUAUUGUUCCAGAAUAAUAACCCUAUUGUUAUCGAGUAUGUAUCCGAUCAUUAUUUAUUAGUACAGUAUUAUUGUAUAAUAUUUUGUUCGUUAAUUUCUAAAUAUGGUUAUACAAGUGUCCUCACUUGGAUAAUCAUUGUAUUUAAUCACAUGUGGAUACACACUUAUUUAUUUCUAUUAUGUAUACCUUAAUAUAAAGCCGUCUAAGCUAUUUGACCUAGCUAGACACAGAUUCAGAAAUAUCGUUGAAUAUGAUAAAAACCUUUUUGUAUCCAACCAAAUUGCUUUGGUUCGGAUUCCUGACUAAUUAUGAACAUCCCGAACAUGGGAAAACUUUUAUGCACCAAGGCGGACAAAGUGAACGAUGAUACCAUUCUUGAAUGUAGUAUUGAUCAAUACAGGGCAUAACAAGCUGAUCACCCCCCGUGCCCGUAAGUUAUGACAGUUUACAGAUGAAGUUUUGUUUAACCUUUUUGAAAAUAAAAAAUAAUGUUCAUAGUCUGUCGACUACCCUAUAUAUAUAGUUAAUACGUAGUUUCAAAAAAUUUGAUAUAGAAAUAAUAUAUUGUUAUGAUUGGUUCAGUUUACUUCACAACUAUUUAUUCGUUGUAGAAGUGUAGUAUAAUGAAAACAUUUAAUCCUUUCAACUAUAACUUAUAAUUGCUAUUACUUGCUGGGCACUCAAAUGCUCAUCCUUGCUUAAUUUAAAUGUUUUCAGCUAAGUGUGAACAACUGGAAGGCUCUGCCAAGAAUAAAGGAAAAGAGAAGGUUGCUGAAUGAGUUUUUAUGAUAUGUUAUGAAAUAGUUUAACUUUAUUAUGAUAAGGAUGAUAUAUAUUAUUAUUAUCAUGUAAUGAAUGAAUUAAAGGUUAUGUACUUGGGAGCUAGACUCUAAUAUUUAUUUAAAUUAAGUUAAAUAUUUAUAUUAUUCUUAUUAUUAUUAGUAUUAUUCCGCUCAUAGAAAUGGUAUCGUGAAGCACCGAGUUCAGGUUUCAAGUACUUUACAACUCCUCACCGGGGUUAUCUCCGGUUUGGGCUGAUAAUAGACGUUACUCAGGGAUACAUCUGAGAUUUGAGUGCUACAAGUGUUUGAAUUCCGUAAGGUCAUCUGUAGUGUGCCUGUCUUCCCGGUGUUAGCUCCGGGUCUUUAGUAUGAGUGCCUCGGCAGGAGGUCUGAGAUUGAAGCUGAUAGCAUGCAUUUGAAACAAGCAUUUUUGGAGUUAUCACCGGAAUUGCAACAUCAUUCCUUGGGGUUAUCUCCAAGGAUGAAACUUGGGGUUAUCUCCGAGGUUGGAAUUGAUACUUCUGGUGUGUGUUCCGGGGUUGAGAUUAAACUUCCGGUAGUAUCUGGAAUGGAUGUGAGCUGUCUUCCAGGGUUAUCUUCGAAAGAUGAAUCUGUCCUCCUGCAAUGUUAGUAACAGGUGUGCAAAAAAUUUUGAGUGUCUACAUUAGGAUAACCUAAAUAGGGUUUUAUCUAGAUAAUUAGGGUUAGUGUUUACAAAUUAGGGUUAAGUUUUGUUAAAUAGGGUUAGGGUUUAUAAUCUAGGGUUACUAACCUAGCUUUCCUACUAAUCAUAACAAGCACGACAAAGCGUUUUGUCAAUGUAAGCACGAUAAAGCAGCUUGUCCAAACAAAUAUACCGAAAAGUAUUUUUUAGAAGAAACGUUUUAAGAAUGAGGUGUCAAGCACGUCAAUUUUUGGAUAAAAUUUUAUUUGACCAAAUUUGUUAAAUAGGGUAUAUAUUAACAUAUAACACUUUCAGAACGGAGAGAUUUUAUUAAUAUAACUGAAUUUUACAUAUCCGAGUCUUAUUAGGGUUUUGGGUUUUUACAAAACCUUAGGAAGUAACCUUUAAGGAGACAUAAAACAUAGUGGUGAUAAACUCUUAUCGAGUUCUAAGGAAUGAAUUAAGGAAUUCAUUGAAGAUAAAACAAAAUAAUAAAAGACUUUAUGUGCUAUGUCUUAAUAACUUAUGUGCUCGCGAAUAUCAAAGAGUAUCACGUAAUAAAUAAAAUUUAAAAGUAUUUUGUUGUCAAGAUGUCUAACGUUUAAGGAUCCAUUUAAAGUAGGGAAGAGAUACCUUAGGUACCUACGGAUGAGGAACCCUGAGAUGUUCAUGUGGUUUGGGAGCAGUUGAUUCAGAGAGAGGCUUCUCUGUUGCUCGCUGAGGAAGAAUAGGAAGAUGAGCCUGUGUUUGAUCUUGAGGAGGAGAACUCUGAGGAGAUAGAGGUGGAGGAUGAGGAGGAGGAUCUUGUGGAGUUUACACCAAACUCCAUAUCAGCUGAGAUCUAUGAUGAGUUGUAUGACCAAAACAUAGAAUUAUAGGAUAAGAUUGAGGAGCUGAAGGAGCUAGUUGAGAUGCGUCAGGCUACUAUAGAGGAUAAAAAUGUGGAGAUUCAGGAACUCCAUUCACAACAUGGGAACACGGAAUGGAACCUAGUUCACACAAAGGGACAUCAAGAGGAGUUAUUGGCUAUGAAUGAGAAGAAGAAGACUGAAGUGGAGAAGCUAAAAUAUGACUUGAAAGAGGACUCAACUAAGCGUGCGAGAGUAGAAGACACUUGGAUGAAGGCUACUCGACGUGCAGAUCGUACUAAAGCCAAGGUUCAAAUGAAGAAGGCUAAGAUGAAUGAGAUGGAUAAUGUCUUUCAUUAUGCGAUUGAUAGGGCCCAGGAUAGAGUCUUUUAUUACCUACCUCAAUUUGAAGACUUAACGUGGUACAUGAUGGAUCGUAGGACGAUGUAACGUAUUAUGGAAGAAGAGCGUAGAGGUCUUAAUAUGCCAAGAUAGGAAUAAUAAUAAUAUGUGAUUAAGUAUGUGAUUGAAUAAAUUAUAAAUCCCUUAUUUUGAGAUAAAUAAAGGGGUAAGAUGAGUAUGUAAUUCUGAAACUUGUCAAUUUCAGGAAAGAUGAUAUUGAUAGCAGAGAUUACUAUCCUUACUAUGUUAUGAAAAGUUAUGAAUGAAUAAAAAUAUCAAAGUUUAUUGAAAUGUUAUGUGUUAAAGCUUUAAUCUUAGAAUGAUUAAAGUUAAACUUUAAGAUAUUCAAGGAAUUUAGUAGUGCUCUAAUAAGCGUAUAUUUUAACAAAAAAUGCCUCCUAGAAGAAGAUAAACAUGCCAACAACCACCUCCUGAGGAGUCUACUAACAAUAACAAUAACGAGGCCAACGCUAACCCGGUUCAGCAGUUGGUGACUUUGUUAACUUGAGCACUUGCGAAUCACCCGCAAUCUUAAGUCACGACUUUUAAGGACUUCAAAGAAGUUGGACUACCAGAGUUUCAAGGUUUUAUGAAUCCAGUUGAAGCCCAAACCUGGAUCAUGGAAAUGGAGAAGGUGUUCGACAUUUUCAGAGUCAACGAGGAUCAGAAGACCGCUUUCGCAACAUUUAUGUUGAAGUCUAAAGCUAGCUAUUGGUGGCAGGCGAAUAAGGUUCAUGGGGGACAUGGAAUAGUAGCGUGGGAUAGGUUUAAAGAAAUGUUUUUUGAAAUGUACUUUUCGACUAGUUUAUGGAAUCAGUUGGAAGUUCAAUUCUUAGAGCUAAAGCAAGGAACUAUGAUUGUACCGGAGUAUGCUCCAAAGUUUAAUGAGCUGAAAAGGUUUUCUAUGUAUCAAGUAAAUAUCAAUGAGUGUAAGGCAAGAAGGUUUGACCAAGGGUUGAAGCCCUGGCUGUAUAUAAAGGUUUCAAUGUUCUAGUUAAACACGUUUGCAUCAGUAUUGGAAAAAGGUAAUUAUCGCGAAAGUUGGAAGUGAUGCCUUAACCAAAUAUAAUCAAGAACAAAAGAAGAAAAAGAAUGAGAAUAAAAAUAAGGUUAGUUGAAGAAAUAGUUGAAGUAACAACCAAAAGAAGAAAUGGAAUGAAAAUUCGAGUGCGGGAGGACAACAAGGAAGUCAGCAAAAGAAGAAAGUUAAAGCUUGUGCUACUUGCGGAAAGAACCACAUUGGUGUGUUUGAAAGGAAAACGAGUGUAUUUUAAUUGUGGCUAGGAGGGUCACAUUGCACCAAACUGUUUAAGUCCAAAUAAAUGAUCAUGUUUCACCUGCGGGUCGAAGGAUCACAUGGCUCGUGAUUGCCCUAAAAAGACAGCGGGAAGCACAAGUGGAGGAAAAGGAAACAACAGUGGUGGUACUUUAACUAUCAUUGGACCAUUGCAAUCAAGCUGACCUACUGCUAGGACUUUCAACAUGACAGUGCAGGAUGUUAUGAAUUCAAAGGAUGUGGUGUCAGGUAUCAUUCCGAUUAAUGGUAAUAAUGCUUAUGUGCUAUUUGAUUCAGGUGCUACUUAUUCAUUUAUAUCCGAUGAUUUUGCCCAGAAUUUAGAUCUACCUCAAGAAGAAUUAAAUUUCCCUUUAAGUAUAGAAAUUGCGAAUAGGGAAGUGAUUAAUGUUAGGUUUAUAUACAAGAAAUGUACAGUGGUUAUAAAAAACCAUGAAAUUACGGUAGAUUUGAUACCAAUUAAACUUGGGGAAUUCGAUGUUAUACUGGGAAUGGAUUAGUUAUUCAAUUAUGGGGCAGUAAUUGAUUGUCAAAAGAAAUGUGUUAACCUUAUGACUCCAUCAAAGGUGGUAUUUUAUGGAAGCAAGUCACCUCGAUAAGCAAGUUAUCUGACAGUGAUGCAAGCAAAAACGUUACUGAGAUAAGGAUGUGUAGGUUACUUAGCCUACAUAGUCGAUACACAAAAGAAGAAUGUGAAGUUAGAAGGGAUACCGAUUAUUAGAGAUUUUACAUACGUAUUUCCAGACGAUUUGCCUGGACUUUAGCUAGAUAGAGAGGUUGAGUUCGUGAUUGAUUUAGUACCAGGAACGGCCCCGAUAUUUAAAGCCUUAUACAGAAUGGCUCCUGUAGAGAUGAAGAGUUGAUGGUAUAAUUACAAGAAUGACUGGAUAAGUAGUAUAUCCAGCCGAUUGUAUCACCAUGGGGAGCGCCACUGUUGUUCGUUAAGAAGAAAGAUGGAUCAAUGCGGCUCUGUAUUUAUUAUAGAAUUGAAUAAGGUCAUGAUUAAAAAUAAUUAUCUAUUAUCAAGAAUCGAUGACUUGUUCAAUCAACUAAAGGGAGCAAGAUAUUUCACGAAGAUAGACUUGAGUAGUGGUUAUAAUUAGAUGAAGGUGAGGCCAGAGGAUGUACCAAAAUUGACAUUCAAAACUUGGUAUGGUCAUUACGAGUUUCUGGUUAUGUCAUUUGGUUUAACCAAUGUACCUACAACGUUCAUGGAUUUGAUGAAUAGGGUGUUUAAACCAUUCUUAGAUAAAUUUAUAGUGGUGUUUAUUGAUGAUAUACUGGUGUAUUUUAAGACCAAGGAGGAACAUGUUGAACACUUAAGGGUGACGUUGGAGACAUUAAGGAGAGAGAAGUUGUACGCUAAAUUCUCAAAGUGUGAGUUUUGGUUAGAACCUGUACAAUUUCUUGGGCAUGUUAUUGACAAGGACGAAAUCUCGGUAGAUCCAUCGAAAGCUGAAGCUGUAAUAAACUAAGAUCAACCGAAGACACCGUCAGAAGUAAGAAGUUUCUUAGGAUUGGCAGGUUACUAUAGGCGUUUUAUUUAAGACUUUUAAAAGAUCGCAACCCCGUUGACUAAUUUAACUAGGAAGGCAGUUAAGUUUGCUUGGACGAAGAAGUGUGAGGAGAGUUUUCUAGAAUUAAAGAACAGAUUUAGUUCAGCACCUAUGUUAUUGUCACCUGAUGAUACAGAAAAUUUUGUGGUAUAUAGUGACGCAUCGCUUAAAGGACUAGGUUGUGUGCUUAUGCAAAACGGCAGAGUUAUUGCGUAUACAUCACGUCAAUUGAAGGAUUACGAAAAAGGGUAUCCGAGUCAUGAUUUAGAGUUGGCUGCGGUGGUGUUUGCCCUGAAGAUUUGGAGACACUAUCUUUAUGGAGAGAGGUGUGAGAUAUAUAGAUACCAUAAAAGUUUGAAGUAUAUCUUUACACAAAAAGAUUUGAAUAUGCGACAAAGGAGAUGGCUGGAGUUGAUUAAAGAUUACGUCUGCGAGAUUCUUUAUCAUCCCAGAAAGGAGAAUGUUGUUGUCGAUGCCUUAAGUAGAAAGGGACGGGAGAAAUUAAUGAUGUUGACUGCUCAGGAAAAACUUAUAGAAGAAAUGGCCAAGAUGGAGUUGGAAAUUAAAUAUCCGACAUAACCAAACAAAAAAUUGUUCCAGAUGGUGAGCAAUUCAAUGUUGGUGGAUAAGGUAAAGAACACAUAACUUCAGGAUUAAAACUGUGAAAAGAUAAGAAGAAAAGUGUCUAAAGGUGAGGAAGACAAAUUUAAAGUUGAUUCAGAAGGGUUACUUUGAUUCGAAGGGAGAAUUUGGGUUCCACCAGUACUGGAAAUUAAAGAGGAAAUUUUGAGUGAGGCUCAUAUCUCACGAUAUUCGAUUCACCCUGGAAGUACAAAAAUGUACCAGGAUCUCAGACAUCAUUUCUGGUGGUCAAAUAUAAAAAAGGAUGUUGCUGAGUGUGUGGCAAAAUGCUUAACGUGUCAGAAAGUUAAAGCUGAGCAUCAAAGGCCAAGCGGAUUGUUGAAACCGUUAGAGAUACCAGGAUGGAAAUGGGAGCAUAUCACAAUGAAUUUUGUGGUAGGUCUUCCAAUGACUCAGUAAGGUUACAAUGUAAUUUGGGUGAUUGUCGAUCGAUUUACAAAGUCGGCACACUUUUUGCCAAUAAAGAUUAGAUUUAACCUAGAUUGGUUGGCAAAACUGUACGUGAAGAAAAUUUUUUCAAGACACGAUGUCCCGGUGUUAAUUGUAACAGAUAGAGAUCCACGUUUCACAUCAAAUUUCUAGAAACGACAACAGGAAUGCUUGGGAACGCAGUUGAGAAUUAGCACAACAUAUCAUCCUCAAACCGACAGACAAAGUGAGAGGACAAUCCAGACAUUGGAGGAUAUGCUCAGAGCAUGUAUUAUGGAUUUUAAAGGGAAUUAAGAUGACCAUCUGCCAUUGGUUGAAUUUUCCUAUAAUAACAGUUAUCAUGCAAGUAUUGGCAUGUCUCCUUACGAAGCAUUGUACGACAGAAAAUGCAGAACUCCGUUAUAUUAGGACGAGGUUGGAGAACGUCAGCUACUAGGUCUAGAAUUAGUGCAACAAACUGUUGAGGUCAUCAAGGUGAUUUGAGCAAGAUUAAUAGCUGCAUAGGAUAGGCAGAAGAAGUAUGCUGAUCAACACUGACAAAAUCGGGAAUUUGAUGUUGGUAGUUUUGUUUUCUUGAAAGUGUCUCCCUGGAAAAGGAAAAUCCGAUUUGGUAAAAAGGGAAAACUAAGCCCUAGGUUUAUAGGACCUUUUGAAGUCCUACAACGAGUUGGUGAAGUGGCGUAUAAGGUAGCUCUACCUCCGAAAUUAGAACAUAUUCAUAAUAUUUUCUAUGUUUUGGUAUUAAGGCCAUAUAAGUCCGAUUAUAAAUAUGUUAUAGAAUAUGAACCAUUACAGUUUGAAAAAGAUUUGUCUUAUGAAGAAGUCCAUGUUCAGAUUAUUGACAGGAAAGAGCAAGUACUAAGGAAUAAAGUGAUACUUUCUGUUAAGGUAAUCUGAAGAAACCACAAUGCUAAUGAAGUUAUGUGGGAACUUGAAGAUGUUAUAAUGAAAAGUUAUCCUUAGUUAUUUGUUUAAUCUUUUAUAGCGAUUAUGGGGACAAAAUCCUAUUAAGGAGGAAAGAAUGUAACAAAUGUGUUUAUUGAGUCGUGAUUUUGGGGACAGAAACCUUUUAAGGAGGGAAUGAUGUAACGAACGAGAAUUUUAUAUAUGUAAUUUAAAAAUAUUUAUUGGACUAAAUAAAUAUUGUAAUUACUUUAUUUAUUGAGUUAAAUAAAUAAUUGAUGAAAUUAUUGUGCAAUAAGUUAGUUAAAAUGUGUCAUAGUAAUUAGAUUAAUUUUAUAAUUUAAAGAUUUAAUUUAAUUAGCUAAUUAAAUUAAAUGAAUUAAAUAAUUAUGGUGUAGUUCUAAUUUGAUUUAAUAAUUAAAUUUGAGAUUUAUUAUUUUGUUAAAUAAAAUUAUAAAUCAUUAUGGAAAUUCCAAUUAUAAGGUAAACGUUAAUUUAAAUUAUAAAUUUAAUUAAAUUAACUAAGUAAUGGUGUGACAAGGAGCUAUAUAAUAUAGGUAUUAUAAACAUAAAUUAGAAUGGGGAGUUUUGUGUGUAGCCAAACAUGGCCUUGUGGCCUUUGGCAUAUUGCAACUGACAUAGCCUUUGGGUUUUUGAACAUGAUAUGUAGUGUUAUAUUAGUUUUCUUCUUUGCGUAUUAUAUCUCCAAAGGCUAAGUAAGGAAACACAGAGGGAUUAGAGAAGAAUAGAGAGAAGAGAGAAUUCUCUAUAUUUUGUCAAGAGGAAUGAGAAGAAUUUUUGGGAAACCUUGUCACCAUCUAUUGCUAAUAUACAUCAGAGGAUCAAAGGUAUAAUUUGCUCCUAAUUUCUAAGUUUUUGGCUUUGUAAUUUGAUUCUUUGUAAUUAAGUUUUUUUAGAAUAGUUGUUAUGAAUGUUAUGGAUAAUGUAUUGUAAUACCCAAGACUUUCCGUAUAUUAUUAAAUAAAUAUGUUAAUGAAAAUAAAUAUUUAUUUGAUUAUGAACAAUUUCGUAUUAUGAAAUGAGAUAACUCAAUCAUAUUAAUAAAUGAAUAAUUGAGAAUACGUCGAGUUUGAGGUAAACUCAUUGAAAGCCUUGUGUGGCAUGGGGAUGGAAAUUCAAAUAGUAAUGAUAAGCGGCGAAGAAAUUAUGAGAUGAGCAAUUAAGUAAUAUUAAUUGUUAAGUGUUGUUGUAGUAUGUUUAUGGAUUUUUAAUUGAUAUUAAUAAGGUCGGUUAAUAUGUGAUUAUUAAUUAUUAUUUAAUUGAUAAUGGUUGUGGUGGAAUAUUGAUUUCUUGGCAAUUAUUAAUAAUAGGUGAUUAUUAUAUGGAUAAGUAAUGAUUAUGGAAAACCCAUAAAUGGGUGGAUUAAUUAAUAUUGAUGUUAAUUAAUUAAGGAAGUGCAUGGUUAAUUUAUUUAACAUAAGUGAGUAAGUUAGUAAUAUAAUAAUAUUAUAUUGAUAGUUAUGUGCAUGUGAAAUAUAAUACAAAAAUAACUAUAUGGUGCAGUGUGACAUUUAUGUGGCUAUAUAUAUUAAGUCUUAUAAAACUAUAUUGCUUGGACAUUGUAAUAAAACAUAUUGAAACUAUGUGUUAUAAAUAUAUUAUCUAUGUGCCAAUAUGUAUAUGGGCAUGUAUGGAAAUUAUAUACCAUGAACUAUUAAAGUAUACCAGUGUGAUAAAAUGUAUAUAGAUUAUAUGUUUAUUACAUUUCCAUAUUCUAUAUACUACAUUGAAACCUUAAUUAUUAAGUAUGAUAUUUAAUUAUAAUAUAUGGUUGAGAUGUGUAUUAAAAAAUAUAACAUAAGAGUGUGGAUGUGUAGGAGUAUACAAGAAUGCUAGUUAAUUUGUUUGUCCCAAAUUGAUAGUCCCAUUUUACUCUCAUUUCUCAUUCACGUGCAUUUCAUAAAGGCUAAGGCCUAUGUUUUUCAUAUUUUCUUCCAAGCUUUCUAGGCAUGAUCCUGCGGGGGAGUGGUACUCGUGAUGAAAUCCAACAACUAAUUACCAACUCCUUAUACAUCAUGCAAUCCCUCAACCCAUGAGUUUGAUUUCUUGGACUAUGGCUUGGCAUGGUCAAAGAAUUCUCUAUAAAUUGGACACUUCUCUUCAUUAUCUAUGUUGCUUGAAUUGUUUGAUAAAUUGUCAAGUGAGAGAUUGAGAGCAUACAAGUGUGCUAGAGCUUAGAAGUUCAUUUGGAGCAAGUCUUCAUCACCUUACAGAGGUAUAAACUCUUUUCCUUGUUACCAUUUUCAUUCUCUAUAAAAAUAUUAUUUUGGUCUUGAAAUUCAAAAUCUUGAAUUCAUGGAAUUGUAUGUUAAUGAGGCUGGGUAAUGUCCAUAUAUAUGUUAUAUGAUCACAUAAGCUUGUUGCAAUCGGUUUAUAAGUGUUUAAAACCAAUUUGGUUAAUAAAUUUUGGGGUUUGGCUAGUCAGUUACCGAAGCAGACUGUUCUGUGCCUGAACCAGGCACGGCGCAGCUGUGCCACAUUUGUAUUGAGGUGCAGCGCAUCUGCGCCGAUUGCUGAACUCAGUUGAGCAAUCUGUUUUUAAAUAUGGUCAUGAGUAGCUAGUUGUUUUGACUUAAGCUAACAUGUGAACAUGUGUAUGAUUUAUAUUUGGAUAUGUUGACCUAAUGUGAGCAUGUUUUCAUAGACUUGCAUGAUUAAUGGAGACAUAUGCUUUAAAUGGAGAUUUGAACCUUAAGUUUUGAAAACCAACUAUGUUAAAGAUCAUGUUCUACAAAUUGUGAACCCAGCGAGCUAUGCAUGACUGAUUUUGCACAUAGAUGAGCAUGUUGUAGUGUACAUAGUCCGUUGAGCAUGAUAAAACUUGUUAAGCCUUAUGUUAGGAAUAUUUUCAAGGAAAGACUUAGCCUAGUAUGCUAACUUGUAUGAUUUCUACAUGUGGUAUAUUCUGACUUUGCAAAGCAUGUUAAUGUGACUUAGACAUGCAUGAAUAAACCUUUAGCUUAUGCUUAAGUGAUUAGCAAAGAAGCAUGAACAUGUUGUAUACUUUACAAAUGAAAAUAUGACCUUUGAAUAGGAAUAUUAUCAUGUUACCUUGAGGACAAGAAUCUGACAUUUGUGAUCAUAUUUAAUGACUCUCUUAGACUAACUCAUGUAGUGUAACCAUGGAUAUACUAUGCCUUUAUGUUAUAUUUCAAGAAAAGCACGAACAAAGAAUAUUUUCAACUAAAGCGGUGAUUAGUUUCACGUAUGUGUUACGAAUACACACAAACAUGUAUAAUAUGAGUGUUGUAACUAACUUGUAUGAUUUAGAAAGCAAGCAUGCUAGACUUUGUGGUUUCAUGACCUUAAUUUGUUGAAUGAUCGAACUUAGAACCAUGAUAUGCAAGAAAGGGCCUAGAUUGAUCUAAGAAGCAUGUGAAAGCUUUUAACAUGUCAAAAUACAUUAAGUAUGAGUGUGCGUUCGAGAUCGGACAGAACCCACAAGGCAACAACUGAGUCUUGGCAGGGUCAGGGGACGGCGUAGCUGCGCCGGUCCUAAGCGUAGCCAUGACGCAGCUGCCCCAGUUUGGAAUCCCAGAAAAUGAAUUCUGAUCUUUUGGAUAGUAACUUACAUGAUACUUAUGAUGCUAAAUGUGAUCUAAAACCUACUGAUGUACAUAUAUAUGUGUGAUGCUUAGUUGAUAAGUCGGUGUUGCGUUGAAACAAAAAGUCCAUGAGUAGAGGAGGUCCUAACCUUAAGCAUUCUUGAUUUGUUUAUAAAAUGACUAAGUGUUUGGUUUAUGAUUACUUAUAAACUGAUUUUGGUACCAUAUGUGCAUACUUGUAUCGUGUCAAGCUUGAUUAAAGACUGUGUUAGCUAAUUAACAUCUUGAACAUAUAAUGCGUUAUAAAUAGGAUUUGAAAGUGUUGAUUUAUUAACGUGGAUAAACUACGCUUAAGGCAAGUUCCCUAAACUUACUCUAAUUAUUAUUGAACAAGUUUCCUUGAACCUUACUUUUAUUGAGCAAGUAUCCGAACCCUAUUAUUAUUCUGGUGCAAUAUCAUUGCAUUAUUUAUUCGGCCAAUACCGUAAGCUUAUCCUUUUGAAUACAAGUUAGAUUACUUUGUUAAACCCUUGUGAAAGCUAUUAUUCAUGUUGAAAUUGGUAUUGCCCUUGAAUAUUGUGAAAGAGUCGAUGCCAUUUGAUUCGGCUAGACUAUAUGCAUGUUUAUAAAAACUAUCCAAACCAAUUGAUUUGUGCGGAAAUAUUGAAAACUGAGUUAGACAACCCUUUUAGGAAGGGGAGUGUAUGUUGUUGGAAACCCCAACACAUGAAUAAAUAUUAUUGUGGUGUUAUGCAUAAUGUAAAGUAUUGUAGACUGAUCAUCUAUAGUACUUGAUAUUUUUGGUUAUCAGUUUUAUAUUGGUAACUCUAGUGGAAGUUCCAUAGUCCUUAGUGACUACUCAGUAUAAAUUGCUUAUCCAGUUGGAUACAUUGUUAGCCGUUGAAUUCAUAUAUAUCUGUUGAUUUAUAUUGAAUUGUUAUAUCCCUUAUUCAUGAUGUUAUUCUGACACUUUGAAUUAUUCGAGAAAUAACCCUUCGAUAUUUCAAAUCUUGUGAUAUUAUAUCCCGCACCCUUGUUGUAUAUUACUUGCUGGGCAAUUUGUGCUCGUCCUUGCUUAUUUAAAACCUUUCAAUUAAGGAAGAACAUGGAGGUGUCUCUAGAGCAGACAAGGGCAAGGGAAAGGCUACCGACUAACUUGUCCUUUUUAUGUUUAAAGCUAUUAUGUUAUGCUAAGACUAUUUGUGGACUAUGUUUAAACUUAAGUAGGAUUAUGUAAUAGGUCUUUAUUCGAUACUAUUAUGUAAUCUAUUAAGUACUGUAGGUUGCGAGACAUGGGGGAAUAAUUAUAAUAAAUCAUUGUAUAUUAUUCUAAAGUAGAUUUUCCGUUGUGUGUGCAUUAUUUUAGUUAUUAUGGUCUUACCAUGAGAACGUGAUGAACCGAAUUCGAGUUACCAAGUAGAGGUCCGAAUUUUGGGGAGUCAUAGGUUGGUAUCAAAGCAUUAGUUAUAAACCUUAGGAGCGAUUGUCCUUAAAUUAUAACUUAAGGGAAUUUAGAAGUUAGGAAGGAGAUAAAACUCAUGUAGAGUUUUGUUUGAGAGACUUAGUUUGUUAUGAAAUGUAACUUCAUUCUAUACAAUGAACUUAUGUUUAUUUAACAUUCUAAUGGAGUUGUUGUUUGUGUUGUUUUAUGUUGGUGAUUGUAGGAUGACUGACAUGGGAGGACCUAGCCGAGUAGUGGAGGAGGAGCCGCGUGAUAUCCACGUAGUAUUUGAGACACCCUUGAUAACAAAACCUAUUUCAGUAGUAGCCCCUUUUGAUGAUGACGAUGAGGAAGAGGUGGGGUCUGACCCCGAGGAGGAGCCUUUGGAGGAGGAGCCCGAGCCUGUGGAGGACUCCGACGAGGCUACCUUUGGGGAUCAGGUGUUAGGAGAGUAUGAGGAGAAGAUAUUGGAGUUGGGAUGUAGAGUAGAGGAGCUUGAGGCUAAGGCUAGGGAAAGGGAGUUUGCAUUCUAAAAGUUGAGGGAUGAGGAUCAUCUGAGGAAAUUAGUGAUGCAGGAGAUGGAAGUGGAGAUUGCUCACCGUAAGGAAGCAUGGAUCCAGAUGGGAGCUUUGUUUCACCGAGCGGUGGCAAGGAAUGUUGAGGUGGCAGGAAAGCUGAAAGAAUUAGAAUAGAAGGUGUUGAGUGAGAGGGCGGAGAAGGAGGCUCUCCGAACUCAGUUAGAAAUGCAGGUGAUGGAUAGGAUACACUUUCAGGAGAAGUGGAAAGAAGCUAAUGAUAGGGCAGAUGACCUAGAGGAUGAGGUGCGGUGUGACGCCCCAAAAUCCGGGUAUCUUCUAACCCGACAGAUGGUGCUACACGGUACUCAUAACUGUACAUUCAUUCUAUUGUAACAACAUCAAAAUGUGUGUAUCAACGAUAUUCUUAUUACAUUAAUAAUAUUACAUACCGAUCCCAGGUUCUAAAACCAUUACAUUCUUUGUUCAUCAUACUAUGAUAUACGUAACUUAAUAGUUUAUUACAAGGUAAACUAAUGGUUCAUCUUCGUCUUGCCUUUUAUCCUUGUCGGAUCCCUCAGUUCAUUUGGUCCUAGCUGUAUUCAUAUGGUUCAAGCAAGAGUGAGCAUAACAAGCUCAGAAAGUACAAUAAUUUCUUUUAAACAACAUACUUGAAACACAGGAAUCGUAUAUCUUCAAUAACUGAACAAUAGUUAUGAAGUACUAUCGAUAAUUCAAAAUAACACUUCUUUUCCUUCAAAAUGUUUUACAAUAACAAUAUUCAGUAAAACAUCAAUUCUGGCUCAAGACCAUGAGCGUCUCAUAAUUUCUUUGAAAAGGACAACCCGACACUAAGUCCGUAAGUCCGGAAUAUCUUACGAGCACUUUUGGGUGAUCAGCCCAUAGUACUCUAUAUUGAUCAACACUACAUCCUGUUAAAUGUAUGUACGUUUAAGUUUUGGCAACCUCGCGUGCCCAUCGAAUAAUCGAUGAAAAAUAUAUUUGUUUAUUCAUACUCAGGCUUACCUUGAAUCCGUACCAAACAAUUGGCGUAGGAUAGCAUUAACAAUUCUAUAUUGAAAGACUUGUAAAUAAAUAAAUCAACUCUUCAAGAUUAGUCUAGCCGAGAUAAAACUGGCAUCGACCCUUUAGUAAAACAUUUCAUGCAUCUCAUAACAUGAAUCACAGAAAACUUGGCUAACACGAAGGUUAGACAAGCGUUGAAGAAAAACUUGCCUUCAACGUCUGCUACAGUAUAAUAACUUUUCCUUUCAGUCUUUACGGUCUCUACAACACAUAACCACAUAACAUACCACAUUAGGUCAUGAAUGAACAUACAUGGUUCCUAAUGAAUCUUACCCUUCUUCUCAAUCUAAUCCUGUAUUAGAUUUGUUAUUUAUUGGUUCCGGCUUAUCGUUAUAACUUACAUCAUUCUUACCAACUUCUUUCUCUUCUAUGUCUUACUUGCAUUUACUUUAUUAAUACAACUCAUUUAUAGUUAAUCAUCCUUCUUCACGGCUUACUAACGUUAUCACGUUUAUUAAUCGAAACUCGAUCGUUAAGUACAUGUAUUGCAUACGGUUCACGUUCACAUUCAAUUGACUUAUCUCCAACCUUUAGUAUUAUACUUAAGGUUUAUAACAUCUUUUAAUGAUGUUAAAUUAGGUUUAGCAUUGAUAUGAUUCCUUAUCAUUAACUGGUUUCUCCUUUAUAUUCAAAACCUUUCCUCUCUGGGCUUUCCCUAAUGUUGGUACUGCGGCGCCGACAUUCCUUCUUUGUGUCACGCCGCGGCGUGACUUAGCAGUGUGUAUGGUCCGGACUCGGCGCUGUGGCGCGAGUCUCCUUUGCUAUGGCCGCCCUAUGGCACCAGUUAGCAGUGUACCCUGUCUCGGCCUCGCGCUGCGGUGCGGGCCUUUGUGCCUGGAGUCGCACUGCAGCGCGGACUCUGUGCCUCAGAAAAUUUUGACAAUUUUUCAACUUUGCCAAAUUUCCGGACGCAUAACUUCUUCGUUAUAAGUCCGAAUUGGCUCGUUCAAAAGCCUACUGUUCACAAAUUAUAUACUCUACGCAUUCAUGCAAGAAUUUUAUCUAUUUGACUUUGUUUUCUAAAAAUUCACCUAUUAGUCCAUUUUUAACGAAAACGGUAAACCUUUGUGAACGUUCAAUGCUCGUUUCUUCGUUCUAAGUCGAAAUCCAGUCAUUUUUGAGUCCACAACUCUAUAAUGCCAAAUAAGACUUGUCUCCAUUGAAAACCAAUGUUUCCAAGCCCAAUAUCAAAAUUUGACUUCCAUUCCGAGAUUUUCACGAAUUCGACGAUUAUCGUCCAAACUCGUGAAUUUUGCCUUAACUUCAUUUCUUAUGAUUUGUUCAUCGUUUCAAAUGGAUUCAAUCCAUCAUACUAACAUCUUGACAUAAAUACUUCAUUAACUUAUAAACAUGUUAAGUUAUUACUUGUUCUUUGUAAGUUUAUAACUUAUAAAAGUAUAAACUACUUAUGACUUCCUUUCUCAUGAUUUAUUAUAGAUUAAGUCUUUUAACCACCAUUCCUGCUUCUUAUUAUCAUACAAUCUUAUUAAAGUACACAUAUGAGUAGUUCAUAUAAGCUCUUCAUAAAUUCAUAACUUAAUUAAAUUCGAAUGACUUAUUCAUGACAUAUACGACUUAGGUCCAUUGAUUAAUCAUUCUUAUCAUUUCUUAGCAUACAUGUUCUACCACUACCCACUUCUCUAACAAUGGAAGAGAAAGAGAUUCAUGGUUUAAGUUCUUACCCUUAAUAAUCACUUGGUUAAUCUUUGAUCUCCUUCUUGCUUCUUGAAAUAUGAAAAACUAACUUCCUAGCUUUUCUAGCUUAUUUCUCUAACAAAUAAGCUCUCAACUUGUUGGAUGAAAUGAACAACCAACAAAAAUAAAAUCCAAGCUUGCUAUUUAUAGGAAAGUCAAAGUUAGGGUAUAAUGGUCAUAAAGCCACUCCACCUCCUUAAUCACCUCCUUACUAUUCCUUUACUUAAUUAUUAAAUUAACUUGCUCACCAAAUAUACUUGGCCACCACACUUACUUAUCCUUUAAGUUAACUUGUUAAUCACAUAGCUUAUCCUUUGCUUGUUCAUCACAUAAAAGCACUUUGUUUGCUCAUCACUCAUAAGCACUUUACUUAGCCUUUAAGUUACUUAACUUAUCCUUUGCAUAACCCUUAAGUCUACUUGCUCAUCACACAAAGUUAUUGAUCACCAAUUCACCCAUAUGAUCAUGGGUUGCCCCAUGGAUCCUCUUAAUCCAUUGGAUUCUUACUUUGGGCUUAAGGUUUAAUUAAUCCUAACUUAUACAUUGGGCUUGCAUUAACAAUUCUUUGGGCUUUAUCAUUAGCUUGCAUUGGGCUUAUACAUCUCUACACUUGGGCCUUAUCAAUAUCUCAUUGGACUUUACAAUUUCUUACUCAAUCCUACAGGUCCAUUACAUUUGGCUUAAAGCCUUAUAACGUAUAAUUUAUGUAUUAAUCUCAUAUUUUAACUCGUAUACUUAUUUAAUAUACAACAUUCCAUCAUUCAUACAUGCUCGUAUAAUACCUCGUAUUAUACUCGUAUCCAUUACCUCGUACAAUACUUACGUAUUAUACAAUCAUUGCUUUAAUUCAUUAUACGCAUUUAAAUUCCUUCUCGGAAUUCAUUUUCCCUAACCGUUAGGUUUUAAGUCCGCGGGCAAAAAACUGCAUUUGCCAUAACUGAAAUAUUAUUGGAUAUUCUAUCUCACCUUGAUAUUCUAUCAUUACAUAUUUCUUAGAAGUUCAAAAAUAAUUCCCGAACUGAAAUGUGUGAAUAGUAUUUUUCAGAAAAUUUCUCGAAAAGUUUUUAUUUUUGUCUUGGAAAUUCAAACACUUUUAUUCUAUCACGUAGCAAAAAUACUAUGACGUUCUGAUAUAUCUAGGUCAUAGAAUGACCUUCAAUUAGCUUACUCCCAUAAAUAAUUAAUUAUAUUCAUUUAAUACACAUAAUCAAAAUAAAAAUUUAAUUCUCAAAAAUCCAAAUUUUCUGGGGCGUUACAUGCGGUGCAAGAGGAGGAAGAUGAACAAGAUGGGCUAUGCUCUUCGCACGGCCAUGGAGAGAUUGAUAGAUGGGGUACAACAUUACCCAGCUGAGCAAAGACAGACUUGACAUACCAUAAGCCGAGACAUGGUGGUGUACAUCACACAGAAGGAAUAUCAGAGCGCCGUUGAGCGUGGGAUGUUAGAUUGAGUAUAGAGGAUGAAGACCAGUAGUGUAGUAGUUUUAUUUAUGUGUUAUUAAUAUGUUAUGUAAUCUCAGUCUUUUGUGUAAGAUGUGAGAUAGUGGUAAACCUCCAAAUUUUCGAAAAAGUAUUAGAGGGGUAGUAAGAUAGUAUGUCCCUGUCUUUUGUGAUAUUAAGGGAUAUGUGUUAUCGUUUAUAGCAGUAUGCUAGAAAAGAACAUGUAAUGUAACCCUUUGGCAUAUGAAUAUAAAUGAUCUUAAUUCAGAAAUGUGUUAUAAAAUUGUAGUUUGUUCAAUUGAAAAAUGUCUAGGUAUUAUAACUAGAUAAUAAAAUGAAAAUUUUGUGAUGCAGAAAAUGCCGCUUAGACGAAGAAUAACUGUCCUAGAAGAUUCAGUUAAUGAUGAGAGAGGUCCUGUAGAUCCGAUACAAAGACUGGUAGAUUUAUUGGGAGAAGCUCUGAGGGGAAGAAACGAAUCCGUACCACCCGUUCCCCAAGCUGUCCUAGUAACGACCUUUAAAGAUUUUAAGAGUGCAGGACCCCCAGAGUUUGCGGGAACCACUGACCCGAUAGUUGCGCAAACAUGGAUCAAGGAGAUCGAGAAGGCCUUCACUAUAGCUCGAGUGGGUGAAGACCAGAAGACAGUAUUUGCCACAUACAUGAUGCGUGGCGAAGCAAACUAUUGGUGGGAAACCAAUUAGCAGAGAGCGGGGGAAGGUACAAUAACGUGGGAGAGGUUUACUACGUUGUUUUUCGAAAACUAUUUUCCAAAGAGUAUGAAGAGUAGGAUGGAAGUAAAAUUCCUAGAAUUAAAACAAGGUGAUAUGACGGUGGCGCAGUACGCAGCUAAGUUCAAUGAACUAGCGCGGUUUGCAGAAUACCAAGUUGUGGAUGAGGAGAGGAAGGCGAGACAUUUUCAACAAGGGUUAAAACCGUGGUUGUACAAUAUGGUAUCGGUCUUCCAGAUUGAUUCUUUUAUGACAUUGUUGGAGAAGGCAAUCAUUGCGGAAGGUGGCAAUGAGGCCUUAAGUCUGUAUCAUAAGGAGAAGAAGAAUAAGAACGCUGGUAGUGAGCAUCGUGGAGGAAGCAACAGUGGAGGGAGUAACUCCGGAAAGAGGAAAUGGGAAAACAACAACAACAGAAGUAACAAUCCAGGUGGGAAUCACCAAGGAAACUUCAAGAAGAGGACAGAAGCUUGUAACAAAUGUGGAAGAAGUCAUCUGGAGAAUGAUGGAAGAGGAAGAACACCUGCUAUAACUGCGGCCAAGAGGGGCACAUAUCACCAAACUGCCCGAAGUCGAAGAAAAUCAGAGGAUGUUUUCCUUGUGGAUCAACAGAGCACUAGAUAAAGGAAUUCCCGAAGAAAGGAAGCGAUGGAGCUGGCGGAAACCAAGGAGGAGGAAGUAAGUUGAUGAUUGGUGGACCUGCGCAACCCAACCGAUCGACCGCUCAAACCUUUAACAUGACAGUCCAAGAUGCCGUAGUUGCGAAGGACGUGGUGUCAGGUAUAAUCCCAAUCAAUAAUAUAAAUGCUUAUGUAUUAUUUUAUUUGGGUGCCACCUGUUCGUUUGUAUCUGAAGAAUUUGCUAAUAAACUUAGUACACCCCGAGAACGUUUAGAAGAUCCUUUGAACAUAGAAGUUGCGAAUAAGGAAAUAAUCCCUGUAGAAUACGUUUAUCAAAAUUAUCGCACAAACAUUAAAGGACAUGAUUUGAACGUAGACUUGAUUCCUAUUAGACUAGGAGAAUUUGACGUGAUAUUGGGGAUGGAUUGGUUAUAUAACCAUGCAGUAAUAAUUGACUGUCAGAACAAAUGUGUGAACCUUCAGACUCCAGGUAAGUCUAAGGUAGUGUUUUAUGGUAGCUCAUCGCUUAAGCAAUCGUGUUGCGUUACGAUGAUGCAGGCUAAGAAAUUGUCAAAGAAAUGAUGUUUAGGUUAUUUAGCUUACGUUGUAGAUACUCAAAAAAAGGGAGUAAAGCUUAAUAAUUUACCCGUAGUGAGUGAAUUUCAGGAUGUGUUUUCGGACGAUCUGUCUGGCCUCCCGCCAGACAGAGAAAUCAAUUUCGUAAUAGAUUUAGCACCAGUAACAACACCAAUUUUGAAAUUUCCAUAUCGGAUGGCUCCAGUAGAAAUGAAGGAAUUGAUGAUACAACUUCAAGAGUUAUUGGAUAAAGGUUACAUUCGACCGAGUGUGUCUCCUUGGGGAGCACCAGUGUUAUUCAUGAAGAAAAAGGACAGAUCGAUGAGGCUCUAUUUCGAUUAUCGCAAAUUGAACAGAGUAACAAUCAAGAAUAGAUAUCCACUACCGAGGAUAGAUGACUUAUUUGAUCAACUGAAAGGAGUGAAAUGUUUCUCGAAGAUCGACCUGCGGACGGGAUAUCACCAACUGAAAGUGUGGGAUGAGGACAUACCAAAGACUGCGUUUAGAACCCGUUAUGGACAUUACGAGUUUUUGGUAAUGUCAUUCAGUUUAACUAAUGCUCUGGUAGCAUUCAUGGACUUGAUGAAUCAAGUUUUCAAGCCAUACUUGGAUAAAUUCGUGGUAGUUUUUAUUGACGAUAUUUUGAUCUACUCGAAGACGGAGGAAGAACACGUCGAACACCUGAAGAUUGUUUUGGAGGCACUAUGAAAGGAGAAGAUGUAUGCGAAGUUUUCUAAGUGCGAAUUUUGGAUGAAGAAGGUUCAAUUCUUAGGCCACGUGGUGGAUAAGAAUGGAAUCUCAGUAGACCCCAAAAAGGUCAAAGCAGUGAGUAAUUAGGAACAACCAAGGACACCGACGAAGGUGAGAAGUUUCUUAGGGUUAGCUGGGUACUAUCGAAGAUUCAUCGAAGAUUUUUCUAAGAUAGCAACCCCGUUGACUAAUUUGAUGAGGAAGACGGUGAAAUUUGUAUGGACUGACAAAUAUGAAGAGAGUUUUCAAGAGUUGAAGAAGAGAUUGAGUGAGGCGCCUGUAUUAUCAUUACCAGAUGAUACGGGAAAGAUUUGUGGUGUACAGUGAUGCGUCACAUAGAGGACUUGGUUGUAUGCUUAUGCAACAUGGCAAGGUUAUUGCGUAUGCAUCACGACAAUUAAAGGAUUACGAAAAAUGAUACCCUACUCAUGACCUAGAGUUAGCGGCCGUAGUUUUUGCGUUAAAGAUAUGGAGACAUUAUUUGUACGGAGAAAAAUGUGAUUACACAGACCACAAAAGUCUGAAAUAUAUCUUCACACAGAAGGAGUUGAACAUGCAUCAGGGGAGGUGGUUAGAAUUAAUCAAAGAUUUUGACUGUGAAAUUCUUUAUCUCCCGGGGAAGGCAAACGUAGUUGCCAACGCUCUGAGCAGGAAAGGAAGGGAGAAAUUGUUUCGACUGACAACUCAGGAGGAGUUAAUAAGAGAUAUGGAGAAAUUGAAAAUAGAAGUGAGGGGACCCGAGAGGUCUGCAUAAAAGUUAUUUGUAAUAGAAGCUUGUCCAGGAGAAGCCCAAGAGAAAGAUGGAGAGUGUUAGAAAAUUAGAAGAAGGAUCAUGGAAAAAGAGGAAGAAAAAUUUCGAAUAGAUAAAGAUGGUAUCUUAAGAUUCGAAGGGAGAGUAUGGGUGUGGCAGCCCCGAAUCCAGGCCCCAAAUCGCCGCGGAUUCGGUUUGCUAAUCUUUCUAUAACUUUUUGCGGAAGAUAUAAACAUAAAUUGUUUAUACAUUACAUUACACACUAUUCCCCAAGGUCGAGUAAUCUAUACUUAAACACAAAUCAUAAGCUAUCUAACACAUAACAAUACUAUUCUUCAACCAUACUUUUACAAAUUAGCUGUACAUUCUAUCCCAAGCUGAACUUGGCAUUUUCCUUUUCCUGUAACUGGCCGUAUUCGCCUUAUCUGCAAUGUUUUAUCAUGAUAUAGCAAGGGUGAGCAUGAAAGUUGCCCAGCAAGUUUAAAAACAAUGCAAAGAUAUAUCAUGAUGGAAAGAGUUUGAAUAAUAAGCUGACUAUCCUUCACAAUGUAUUUGUGAAUUAGCAUGAACAAAGUUUUGACUGAACAAGUAUUUAACAGGAAUAACAAUAUAUCUGGACCAACUGGUAAUGAAGGUGAUCAGCCUUUCAUACCCGACUUAUACAUACAAGAUGUACAGAGUACAAUUCAUAAGCAUAUCUGUCUGAAACCACUCUUAAAAGAGUUUAAGUAAAAAGAACUUGAAAAACUUGCCUGAACCGUUGAUUACCGUAACGCAAUAUAAUACGCUUCUCCUGAAGACCUAAUAUUAAUAAUAUAGAUCUCCAAUAUUAGAAUAAUAUCAUCAUUGUUAUAAAAUAACUUAAACAUAUUUCCACAUACUCCUAUCAGUCUAUACAGCAUAUAAAACCUAUAAUAGAUCUUUCGGUUAGUCAUAACAUAUAGUUAAG
RNAcentral lists this long non-coding RNA (50424 nucleotides) under Panax ginseng (ginseng). RNAcentral describes it as "long non-coding RNA (PGIN_LNC009894)". Lineage: Eukaryota; Viridiplantae; Streptophyta; Magnoliopsida; Apiales; Araliaceae. The record is from RNAcentral.